UUUUUUUUUUUUUUUUUUUUGCCUAACCGAUGAUGCUCAAUAGGUAUUAAUUAACACACCCCUGUAUUCCACCAACUCGUCGUCAUGUAUAUACAUUACACCUACUAUAUAUAUAUAUAUAUAUAUAUAUAUAUAUAUAUAUAUAUACUCCCUCCGUCCCAUUUUGAUAGUUUUAUUUUCCUUUUUCAUCUGUCCCAAAUUGUAGUCCACUUACUCAUUAAGAAAUAUAGUAAUCUUUCAAAUUAUCUAAAAUACCCUUAUUAAACAUCUUGUUAUUAAUAUAUUGUUAUUAAAUACUAACCCACUACAUUGAACUUUUCCAAUACUAACCCAUUAGAUGUAACUGAUAUUAAUUGGCACUCUUCGUGAUUAGCAUAAGGAUAUUUUAGGAAAUUAUUAAUCUAAAUUUAUGUUUCCAACCAAAUUAAUUACACUUUCUUAAUCUGUGUGAAAAAAAAAACCAAAACUAACAAAACGGGAUGGAUGGAGUAUAUGAAAAAUGAGAUAUACAAUUAUUAACCAAGGCAUUUAUCACACGGUUUAUCAAUUUGUACCAAACUCAUGUAGCUAGGACUUAAUUAUUUUCUCAAUCUUUAUUUUUUUAUUAAAAUAAUAGUACACAACAUACUAUAUGCAUGUGCGCACACACACACAUCCCAAAUCGAUGCCUUUUACACUCGCCGAUAAAAUUUUUAGAAAAUUCUGAAGAUAAAAUGCAAGUUAAUAAAUCAAAUCCCUUGAUCUGCUGCAAUCCAAAAAGAGCCUGGUUGGCCAAGUACUCUGAAGGUAGUCGGUCACCUUACGCUGCACAUAUAUGUUCAAAGGGGUUUGUUCGUCCUUUAUCCAACUCGUCAAUUUGUGAUGUGGGUACCCACUAGCUGCGUGCAAAGAUGGCGAACAAAAUUGUCAUGCAAAAACCACAACUACUUUACAGUUUUGAGUUAUGAUUCAGUAAAAUAAUCGUGACGUUUGAUCCAAUUUUCAAACUUAAUGGUAGUGUGUAAUGUAUUUUGCAUAAUCCUGGGGGGCACUAUAACUGCGUGGAAACUGAGUGCAUAUCAGACACCUUUCUGAUAGAAGAUAACUGGUCGGGGUGACCAUGCGAUUGGCAUUUGGGGGAAUAUGAUAAUUCCGAGAAUAAACCAUAAUUGCCACGUAGGAGUAAUAUACUCCCCCCGUCUCACUUUGAUACUUUGAUAGUUCUGUUUCUUUUUUCACACAGUUUAAAAAAAAAGUAAUUAAUUUUGUUGGAACAAUCAAUUUAGGUAGCUAUUUUUUUAAAAUACCCUCACAUUAAUUAGAGUACAACUUUAUGGGAACUUGAAUUGAUGGUAAAAAAAGAAUCAACGCUCAUUAAAUGGGGUAGGUUUAUAGUAACAACAACUCAUAUUGAAUAAGGGUAUUUUAGAAAAAUUAAAAUACAACUAGAUUAUUCAAUUGAAAAGUGAAUUAUAAUUUGGGACAGACGAAAAGGGAAAACAGGACUAUUAAAGUGGAACGGAGGGAGUACAUAAUUGAAGCAAGGGCUACCAUCUCUAUAUAUGUGACUCUAAAUGCGUCGAAAAUUAAUGAUUUGGGCUUUGAUUAUGGUAUACGGGUGACCUAACUCCUAAUCAGCGUAGCCGACAUUGCAUUAUUGGAUUGGUUUGUAAGCGCGCGGAUUAGCGUAGGGUCCCAAACACUACCCCUUACAUCAACUUUCUAGUUAAGCAAAGAUCCGGAGGAUUCUUUCUUGUUGAUGAAUCAUAUUCUGGCACCCUUAAUUAUAACUCUUUGAAAUCCUCUCGUGCCUUCUACCUACUUUGCUUUCCACCUCCCUAAGCUCUCCCUCUUUUUUCUCUUUCCUACACAUCAAACAACAAAAUGUGAAACCAUUCAUGGGAUGCUGCCCAUCUCCGUCGCCAUCUCUGCCUCGUUCUGAUAUCUUUUCAUUCUUGUUUCUGAUAAUAAUAAUAAUAAUGUUUGGAUUGUGAAUUAUUAGAGAUAUUUUUACUGUAGAACUUUUUUGUGAUGUGAUGUAUGUGAGAUAAAAAGAUAAUUGGGAAGAUAAAAAGGUGCGUUGGAAAUUGUAAUGAUGAUGUAAGCAAAUAUAUUUUGACAAAUAAACAGCAAUCCAAACAUGUAUCACUGGUAUUUCUUUUAAGCCAAAGUUAAUUUUGUAGCACUGUUAUAUUAUGCGUUUCUACUUUUGUUCACUUUGAUUUGAAGUCGAAAAAGUUGACUAGAAAAGAAAGAGAAAAAAAAACAUGUUUGGAUGCUCUUAGGUCGCAUAAACAACUUAGGUAGCAUUUUAAAGUUGAUCGAAAAAUGAUGUUUGCGUUAAUUGUUGAAACAAUUUUUAGUUCGUGGCCUACAAUGUCAGGUGUAAGUAUGGCAAACAAUAAUAAUAAUAAGUUAGCAGAGUAACAGUAGUAGUAGCACGAAAGGCAGAGGCAGCAAAAUUUGAUAUUGGAGGUCUGGAGUGGAGUGGGGGACAGUCAGUAUGGUCUACCACAAAAUGGAUAAAUUGUAGUACUCCGUAGCAAUUCGUGGACAUCCAAUCAAAUACCUAAGACUGCAAAUUAGCCUUUUAAUCAAGAUUUGCCUGACAUCCCCCAGACAGCCGUUUUUUAAAUGCUUAGGGAGUGAAUAAAAAACCCACGCUGAUAAUAAUGUAGUGUUAGAUACUGCCACUGUGAAUAUAUCACCUCUUUGCCUUGCCUGUCGCACAAUUGUUGCUCAAUUAUUGAUCCUCGCCGGUCAUUAUUAUUUAUUAUUGUCUAAGCAUGAAUGCAUCAAAGUUGGAAUCCUUAGAAAGAGAAAAGUAGCGGCUAGUGAUGGUAGUGGUAAUAGUGAACUUUGGCAUGUCAAGGGGUGGCAAGCGGCCGCGAAUCAUCCUCUUGAUGUGUUUCUAACUUCCGUGCUAUUUCUCCGUUUUCCCAUUCUGAGUUGGCCUUUCGUUCAUACAACCCUAAAUUGUUUUCUAGGGGGUUCUUUUCCUCUCUGCGAUUUAUGAUAGUUUUCUCAGAAUUGAAUUAAUGCAUGUGUUCCGUAAAAUGCUUUGAGCUGAGCUAAAAUAUCCGAAUUCAAGGACAAAAAAGUUAGCAGCAUUGUUUGGAAUAAUUACUGUAGCAUUUUUUGUAAUGCAAUGUAUGUAAGAUAAAAAAUUGCUUCAGAAUAUAAAAAAAUGAAUUAAAAAAUAUGUUUAUGAUCGAAGUGAAAUAUUUUAAAAAAAAAAUACUAUCCAAAUAAAGCCAUUAUUUUUUUUUUGAUAACUCGGAACAAGGCCAUUAUUGUCCGUAUCUGCAGUCCACUCCAUAUAUCCGUAUCUGCAGUCCACUCCAUAUAGAAGUGGAGACAUCUGCGUAGAGCUAUUCUCAUAUCCAAGCCCAAAGGGCUUCGGCAUUUUUUUAUAAAUCCUAAUUCCCGUGAAAACCCCAAAAGUCGGUAUCUCUUGAGGUCUCAUAGGGAACUUAUAAACCAACCCCUAAUCCCCCAGAACCCCGACGUGGGACAAAGCCACCACAACCCCAGAACCCCGAUCUGCGUAGAGCUAUUCUAAACCAAGAGGAAAUGGAUCCAUCUAUUAUUAUUAUUAUUGAGUCUAAUGUGUGUUGGCGGAAUUUUGUACAGUAGUACGCUGAACACGUAAGACUUGUUGGUGGCGGUUUUCUUUUGUUCCCUCGCUAGUAGGUCAGAUUACUGUUGUGGAGUUUAAUACGGUGGGCAUCAAAUGGUCAACCUAUGCAAGGAGAGAGAAAGACACUUUUUCAUAAUUCCCCCACACCUUAUUCGUUUUCUCUACUCAUUCUUCCCAUUGAUUAAAAAUCAUGGAUGGAGAUAGAGAGAUAGAGAGCAUCCACCCACCCAACCCAACUCCUCCCAGUCCUCCUCGACAUAAUUGAUAAUACCCCCUCACCCCCAAUCCCCCCCCAACAACAAGCCACAAAGAACCUCCUCUUUCACUCUCUUCCCCCAUCCUAUUUGUUCCGCAACUUUUCCCUCCGUCGAGACCCUCCUUCAUUUCAUUUCAUCUCUUCCCCACUCUCUCGUGCCUUUUUUCUUAACAAACAACAAACAGACCAAGCAUCAACCCUCCAUAAGAUAAACCCCUCAUUCCACAAUCCACUCCUCAACCAUUCUACUCGAAACAUACAUACAUAGAUGGGUUUGGAUGAUGUAUGUAGCCCAGGCCUUGUAUUAGGAUUAGGCUUCCCGUCAACCGCCGAGAACAAACCACUGAAAACGGAUAACCAGAAAUCAAGAAAGCCAUCCCUCCUCAAGUCCGAACAGUUGGCCAACUUUGAGCCGUCGCUGACCUUGAGCCUUUCCGGCGGCGACACUUUCGAUAUGCUAGUCAAGAAGCUGGAUGCUACUGCUAAUAAGGCCUCGAAUAAUGAGCCCCCACCUUCUGCUGCUGACUUGCAUCGUCAAGAUAGUGCUGCGUCGUCCUUCUCCAACAAUAGCGUGAAGAGGGAGAGGGAGCUCGGGAGCAGCGAAGAGGUGGAGAUCGAGAGACUUUCGUCAAGAGUAAGUGACGAAGAUGAUGAUGGUUCUAAUGGAAGGAAGAAGCUUCGCCUCACAAAAGUUCAGUCUGCUCUUUUGGAAGAGAGCUUCAAGCAACAUAGCACUCUCAAUCCCGUAACAUUUCUCUCUCUCUCUGGCUAGCUAGUCGAUUUAUUUUCACACGUAAUAGUAUUACAUAUACAUACAUAUCUGCUGAUUCUGCAGAAGCAAAAGCAAGAUUUGGCAAGGGAACUGAAUUUAAGGCCUCGACAAGUUGAGGUGUGGUUUCAGAACAGAAGAGCCAGGUACUUACUUCCUCAUCCCUCACCCUGAAGAUUAACAAUGUCGAGGAAAAACAAAAUCGAUCGUUCGAGGCGGUUUUUUGAGAUAUGCACAAAUUUUGUCUAUUUGAAAUAAAUAAUGGAGGGGGGGUUUUUUCUUGGGUAUACGCAGGACGAAGCUUAAGCAAACGGAAGUAGACUGCGAGUUCUUGAAGAAAUGCUGCGAGACGUUGACGGACGAGAACAGGAGGCUGCAGAAGGAGCUACAAGAACUGAAGGCGCUAAAACUAGCGCAGCCCUUGUACAUGCAGUUGCCAGCGGCUACACUGACCAUGUGCCCCUCUUGCGAAAGGGUCGGCGGAGUUGGUGAAAACUCUUCCAGCAAGAGCCCAUUUUCCAUGGCCCCAAAACCGCACUUCUUUAAUCCCUUCACCAAUCCAUCUGCAGCUUGUUAGCUAGCUUUUAAUUUAGCAACAGAUAUAAUAGCGCUAAAUAGUUUACUUGCGUAUAUGAUCGUCAGACUAUGGAAAAAAACCCAUAACCGGCCUUUUUUUGGUUAAGGGGCUUGCGAUCAAAGUUUUAGUUUGGAGGUAGCUUGUAGAAAUUCAAUCAUUUCUUUUGACAUAUAUAUGUUUGUAAAUGAUGAAGCAAUAUAUAUAUAUAUAUAUAUUAUUAUGGAGGGGUGGUUGUUACUUGUUAGUAGCAUUUUUGGUUUUGUGUUGCAUUGAUCGAUCACUGAUUUCCUUCCUUGCAAUCAAAACGAAGCAGUGCACCACUUUUUUUGGUCUAAUUCAUGCAUGAUUCAUGAAAUGUAAGGUCUGAAUUUGGGCAAAAUUGUUCGGCCUAUCAAAACGGCACCGAUUGUUAAUGGUUCGUGUAGCACAUCAAUAAACUCUUACCGAACGAAAUGAUGAAGAAGAUAAUGAUGGAAAAUCAGUUGGAAGUUAUGAUGAUCAGAUGAUGAUGUGUGGGCGGGCGUAUGUGUGAGAGAACGAAGAGGAUAGAGGGGUUGGCUCACGUGUAUCUGUCUGUAGCUUUUUCCAACUUUUUUUUUUUCCCCCUCUCCUGAUUGGCAACCAAUAAAAUUUUAUUUUAUGUUUUUUAUAAAAUGAAAAGGGUACUGAAAGGGCCGUUGGUCAUGAGGCAUGAGCAGCAGGGGUGAGAUGCGUGCGGAGAAAGAAAAGAAUGGAAAAGUCCCCAAAACUCAUUUCCCCUUCUUCCUCCCCUCGGAGAGAGAGAGAGAGAGAGAGGCAGGAAGGGGUGGGGGAUGGUGCGGCGUGUGUGGAUCAUGUUUGCGUACAUGGAUGGAUGAUGGGCCUGAUCAUCCAGCGUGAAAUGUCCCAACUUUUAGGGGACCGGUGGGUCACGACCCACGUGAUGUUCACGCUUCACACCCUACCUCAUUUGUUCUGAUUUCCUUCACCUUCACGAUCACAUUAUGAACAAUGAGGUUUCCAUGAAAUAUUUUUUCUUUUUUCUCGCAGUGGUUUGCAGUUAAAAUCAUCCUCUCUCUGGGUGUCACUAUUCGGUUCCAAAUUCAACAAUAAAAUAAUUGAGAGUUAGUUCCACUCAUCUAUCUCAAGUCUGGAAUUGAGAGUUGAUGAUGAGGUGCGGAUGAUGUUUUCAAAGUGAAAAACACAGAGGCACGGUGCCGAAUUGACACGCAUGUUAUGUUGCAGUAAGAGAGUGCAGCGUGAGGUGUAUUUCUUAAAGGACACGUUAUUAUGAUUGGUCAUGGGCAAAGUCAUAGACUGAAUCAUUGGGAGGAUCUGUGAUGGUCUUUCGGUCCACUAGCAUGAAUUUAUUCAAAAUAUGCAGUGGCAUUUGUUGUUACCUAGAAAUGUCUCUCCUGCUGUGGUCCAACAAAUCAUGAGGACACUUUCCUGGAAGUUACAACGCCUCGUAGUCUUCGUCUAAUCAUCGCUCAUUCUGGGUGUUCAAACUCUAAUGCCCCCACCACGCCCCCGCCCCCUCCUUUUCUUCCUUGAAAAGGAAAAAUAUAAUACUCCCUUCCCUUCGUCAUAUUUUGACAGUUCUGUAUCUUUUUUCACAUAAUUUAAUAAAAAAUAAUUAAUUUUUUUGAAAUAAUCAAUUUAGGUAGUUAUUUUUCUAAAAUACCCUCACAUCAAAUAUAAUACAAUUUAUGGGAAUUUGAAUUGAUUGUAAAAAAAGAAUAAACUCUCAUUAAAUGGGAUAGGUUUAUAGUAACAACAAUUUACAUUGAAUAAGGGUAUUUUAGAAAAAUUAAAAUACAACUACAUUCUUCAAUCGGAAAGUGAAUUACAAUUUGGGACAGACGGAAAGGGAAACCAGGACUAUCAAAGUGGGACGGAGAGAGUAGUUAAUUUUGUUGGAACAAUCAAUUUAGGUAACUAUUUUCCUAAAAUACCCUCACAUUAAUUAGAGUACAACUUUAUGGGAACUUGAAUUGAUGGUAAAAAAAAGAAUAAACUCUCAUUAAAUGGAGUAGGUUUAUAGUAACAACAACUUACAUUGAAUAAUGGUAUUUUAAAAAAAUUAAAAUACAACUACAUUCUUCAAUUGGGAAGUGGACUAUAAUUUGGGACAGACGAAAAGGGAAAAUAGAACUAUCAAAGUGGGGACGGAGGGAGUUAUAGGCAAGGAGAUGAGUGUCUUUUUUUUUUUUUUCCUUUCUUUCCUUUUUUUUAUUAUUAAUUAUUAUCAUUUACGUCUAUUCCUACUUCUACUCUAAUUUAUUUUAAUAGAAUGAAUCCACAGAAUCAUACGGAUGCAUUACAUAUUUAUAUGAGUGAUCUAAGAAAAGAAGCUACAAUAAAUGGUUUGAACAUUUACCCUUUCACUCCACAAAAUAUGUGAUAAUCAACUAUUCUAGAGGUAGUUAGUUGGAAAGUCUCUCUUCUUAUCUCUUCAAUUUCUCUCCCUCAAACGCAUACCAUCACUAUCAUGGUUACGGUUACACCAAUGCGCUCCUUCAACGCCCCAUUUGGACGUUAGUCAACACAACAUGAUGCGUUUCUCUCCUUCAUCAUUUACUUGUAUUAUCUCCGUGGACAGAAUUAAGCCAACUGAUAAAUAUAUUAUUGGCCCCAUGAGAAUUACGUAAGACCCUAAAGAACCCACAAUUUUCAACAGAAACACUAGACAACAGCAUAGCUAAUUAGAAAACUCUUUAAAAGAAAGGCAAGAGAGAUUGUAAAAAGUGCAAAAAAAAACUCUUUAACAUGGUGAACAGGAAACUCCAAAAGCGUGAAUUAGCGUGCAUCAAAGUUAGCUUUUAGGGUAGGAAAGUAUUCGGUUUAUCUCAUCUUUGCAUGCUCUUUUAAGUAGAGGUGACAGAAAGUUCCAAGAUCCAACGGGCUUCCAUAUCCAAAAUUAAUUUGGAUGGGAUGGAUAUGUAAAAUAUGUCUAAUUGGAAAUAUGUUCAAUAGUGUCCAUUUAAAGCAUGGAUCUACUUGGAGUUUACUUGAAACUCCCAUGAGUCAUUGAUUUUCCUGAAAGUAAAAAAAAACUACCCAACAAUUUUGAGACGUUUGAUUAACAGAUUUUGCCAUGUCCAAAUUGAACUUCAAAAAGCAAGCUUACUUUCAAAUCUCAUGAUAUUUAGAAAGAGAAAAAUCAAUUGACAUAGAUUGUACUGCAUGAUUUUUUUUUUUUUUUUUUUCACCGUGCAAAGAAUAGGAACUGAUCAACUUCAUCUUGACAUGAAAUGUGCAAAUGUGUACAAGAUCAUCUACUAGAGGAAACACAGGCAACGUUUAGUCACAUGACAAAACUGAAUCAUCAAACAUUUUUCAGGAGAAUGCAUGAUUUUGAUGGCGGAAAGUUUUUUAAAAUUAAACAAACUAACUAAAUGAUUUUUUUUUUUUUAAAAAAAAAAUCAAAGUUAUUGGAAAUUUGGAUGGUAUUAAAAUGCAUCUAGCGUCAUUUUAGUCCCGCUCGCAUAUUAUUGAUUCCAUGACUAACAUGAGACCAUCUAGGCAAAGUCAUAUAUAUAUAUAUAUUUUUUCUAGUUCCAAUUAAUUUAAGUGUUUUAGGGACGGUAGACUUGCAACCCGUGUGCCCACAUGAAACUUUAUACUAACUAAAGAAGAAAAAGGUUCGAAAAGAAAAGCAUGUAAGACAGAUGUCAUCCUCUAUUUAGCUUGGCGGCCUGUCCAAACUCUGUAACCUUCAAUUAAUUUAAAAUUAGUGGCAAUUAGCACUGGAUCAGCAUCUAUCAUCAUCGACGGACGGCGACCCAUGAAAUACAAAAACAAACAUUACCUAGUAUUACGACAUUGCUAAUCCUAAGACACAGAUCUCUCCUUAGACCGGGGAUUACGCAUGUUCAGCAACUAGCACGUAUUGGGUCGCUAUUUAAUGCAACCAAUUAUGGAAGCAUGUCGGCACCAGAUUGUGAUCAAUCUGAUCUGCGCUCAAGAAUACAUUCAGCAAAUAAUCAUUUGCCAGGUAGCAGCGGAAUUUUGCUGCGAUUUUAAGAUCUGGGGAAGAGUAGUAGUAGAGUGUCCACAAACAAUCCGUGUGGCGCAUGCAUUUUGGAUUGUUGAGUGUGGCCCGGGUUUGGCAGGGGGUUGCUGUUUGGUUGUUCAGCCUGGGCCCCCGACGAGUGACGAACUCUUCUGCUUUCUUUUUUUCUCCUUAAUUUGUUCUUCGUCGGAAACACCAGACUACUAUUACUUUUAGGCGGAGUUGCUGACUGUAGAAUAUGGUGGUUAGACGGAUAAAGCAAUUAUCAUGAGCCAGAAACCAAUCCAAAUGGGGACACACCUCGAUCGUGUAACUCAGGCUGCUGCAAAGGUCAUAAUCAUAUCCUCGAGACGCCACUGGCAUCUCAUUUAUUUAGUAGGGUGUAAAUGAGUAUAUGGUUGAAUCAAAUGCCGGUGGUAUUCAAGUUUAUUUGUUAAUUGAAUGCAAAUAAUUUUUUAUCAAUCAAACACGAUAAAUAAACAGAUCGAUAGAUUAAUUUCUGGGAGUGUUUUUAACGUUACUAUAACACUGGACUGUUAAACUUUGGAUGUCGUGAUAGACUGAUGAUGAAAGACGGACGGUGCUGGAAGUCAUAAAUAGAAUUAGAAAGUGAGGGAAGUUAGGUCCCCAAUGUCCAAGUGAUCGAGCCACACCGCUGCUGUUUCUCAAGCAGCGGAUAUGACAAGUGGAAACCCUAAAAAGUUCAACAGGAAGAGGAUGAAGCCAAAAUACUGAAGAAGCUUGAUGCGCUGUUGCAACACGUUCAGUCCAGCAGCUUGAACUCUAAUUAGCUUUGAUGGGACUAAGUACGUUGAAAUUAUUAUUAAGAUUUGAAGUCUCAUCCAUCCAUCGUCACACGCGCACUUAGCUUGAUACUGUAGAAUGAAACAUUCCAUCAACUUAUUAAUCAAUAUAGCACUGAGUAUGACGAUUUUGCCAGGAUUGAAGACGACCCCAUAUAUAUACAUAUAUAUAUACACACACACACACACACAUUACGGUGUCGGCAGGAUAUUGAAAUUAAUUCCGAUUUUCAGAUUAGUUUUGGAACGAAUCUUUUUCAUCUCAAUUUUAUUUCAAAAUUAUCAACUAUGCUUAUAAUUGGCUUUGGGGAGUGCUGUAUUGGACACCGUGCUUUCUCGUUCCAUAUAUGCGUGCUUCCGCGUGCAUGGCCAUGGAUGGAUCAUUUCUGCAUCAAUCAGCCAAGGCAGGAAAGGAAAAAAAGAAGGGGGAUUUGAUUUCUUCAAUCACAUCAAUCUGCAAUAUUAAUAUAUGCCCCCGUCGGCAUCCAAGUCCUCUAGGUGCAGAAGGAAAAAUACGAUUAAAAAAGCUUCACCAUGUUAUCAUCAACCACGCGUAUGCCGCCUGCGACCAUCGUCAGCCAAGCGACAACGGCUCCCACCAGGAGAUCAAUGUCUUGUUGUCCCGUCCACGCCAGAUCAGUGGCUACAAAUUCACCAACGCAGAAUACUAAUGCGCAUUUUGCAGCGACUCACAUCAUUAAUGAAAAGCAAAGCAUGUCCCACCUGAUUACGUACUAGUAGCACAGCCAGGAUGAGAGCAAGUUUUUAUACUGCUUACGAUUUGUUCUUUGGGAAUUUGUUCUACUGCUUACGAUUUUUCUCAGUCUUAGUAGUAGUUAAAUGUACCUUAAUUAAAGUUUUGAAACAACUGGACCACAGAAAGAGAUACUUAAAAGAAACAAAUUGAUUGUUUAGAGGUGACUAGUUUCCAAAUUAUAAGGAGCAAUGUCAAGAGAUGAAAUUAGUUUAUAAAUUGUUCGAGCCUAUUUUGUGAUUUUUGCAAAGUUUAGGGGGCAGUUGCCCACAAGCCGUCAAGGUGGCUCCGACGCUGCUGAUUACUAUCCCUAAGCCAAAUAGUACAUUUUAUCUUUAAAAAAAAAAAAAAGAAAAAAAAAGAGUCUCCAUCGGUAUUUGGAUAACGGGGAGCAAAUACCCGCUAACUACAAACUGUUUUAACGGACGCGACAAAUAUGGUCAUCUUUGUCAACUUGAUUGAUUGAGACUUUACUUGUUAGGCCCCAUUUCUUGAUUGAUUUUAUGACCCCAUUUCUCGAGCAACCUAUAUGUAAUUCUUCACACCUAUGGUCAAAAGUUUCCAAUUCAUGUGUAUACUAUUUUUUGCUUGAUGGAUGGAUGAAUGAACAAAGAAGUUGAAAAAACUUGUUCAAAACACGCCGUGCACAUAAUUUUCUAUAGUGUUGCUGUUCAAUGUGCCUUAUUUGAUUAGUUUAACACUACAUUCCAAUGCACGUAAAUUAUAAAUAUGCUGUAAUUGCUUGCACUGAGACAUUAUUAUUAUUGUUGGUAACCUUGGAGUUUAAUACUACUGUCAACUUCGCCUUGCCGAAAUUAUAAUAAGCAUUCAUUAAAAAGCCUUUCCAUGUCGCAUUUUGGGUUUCUUUCGUGUCAUUAUUAACUACUAGAAGGGGACGGUAAAGAAACGACGAGAGUUGCUAUUCUCUAGUUGCCAUGCUGUCCAUGUGAUACCAUUAACUCGUGAUGGUGCCACAAGAAUAUGCUCCUAAUUACGUAUUCAAAUUUCACUCUUAUUGGCGAGACAUGACAAAGGCACUCGUCGAUUCGACCCACACAAUUCUCUAUUCAUGAAUCUAAUACGGUGUGACUUCAAUGAUCACAAAGUUUUGAGGGUUCAACUGUUUAAAUUCGAUCAGCUCAUCAACUCAACUUCGGCUAUAAAACUAUGCUUUAAUAAUUAAGUUUGAAUCAAGCGAAAAUUUCUUCUGUUAAUUUUAUUUGUCGUGCUAAAAAGGGGAGAGAGGAUGAGGUUUUAAAAGCUGAAACGGGUAUGUUAAUUAAAUUCGAAAUUUUGUCUUAUUUCCGAUUGUAUCACGAUUUAAAAGAAACUUUAAAGCUUGUAGAAAAGGAGGAUUUUAGGGUCUGUUUGGUUGGAAGUAAAAUGUUUUCCUUGGGAAAAUAUUUUCCGUGAAAGUAAUUUUCCAUGAAAAUCAUUUCUCUUUCAUCAUUUUCAGGUGUUUGGUUAGCUUAUUGAAAAUAUUUUCUUACUUUAUUUUUCUGGUGUUUGUUUAACUUUUGAAAUAUUUUCACUUUUAUCUCUAUCUUUACUUUCUACACAUUAUAACUACAUACUUCUUCCCAUGCAAAAUAAGAAAUUUUAUCUCAUUGUUUAACUUUUAAAAAUCUUGGGGAAAUGUAUAUAUGAAUAAAAAAUAUCUCCUUAAGCAAUAAACAAAUUGCUGGCCAUUUAGUGGCAAAUAUCAAUCACAUGCAAUGCUUAUUGUGACAUAUAUCUUGCACUCUCACUGCGGAAAAUUUCUCUAGAAAAGAAUGUCCUUAUUAUACAUAAUUAAUUACUAGCAUAGGAUGAGUAGGAUGAGAUUUUUUUUUUAUUUUGAAUAUACUAGGGGGGUUGGGUGGUACGGGAGAGGGAGUGUAAGGAAGAGAUCUUGCGUUCGAGUCCUCCUGUUUACACUAAAAAAAAAAAAAAAACAUACUACAAGAUGUUUUCAGUAAGUUUGGAACAUACUACAGGUGGGAUGCAUGCAUUUCGGAAAACAACUUCAGUAAGUUUGGAAGGGAAGUUGUUUUCCAUAAGAUGAGUGAAAAUAUUUUACAUAGAAAAAUAUUUUCAGUAACUUUUGUGCAACCAAACACGGGAAAUUAGGAAAACAUUUUCACCCGAAACAAACGGACCCUUACUGGGACGUCAUUGAUACCCGGUUGAGCCGAGUCGUGGUUUGAACCAGAUGCGUUUCAAGAGUGCGGUAUUCCAAUUUCUCCCGCCAACUGAGCCUCCCAUCUGAAGGGCCCAUUCUCUGGGCCUUAGUCUCUUUAGCCCACCCUCAUCGGAUGAACAGGAAGCUCCUCCAAGCUCCACCCUGUAGUCAUGAUCUUGAUGGGAUAAGUGAUUUAGGUUCAAGUUCAUGGCCAGUGCUGAUCCACGACCGCUAUGUAGCCCAAAUUCAGCCAUUGCCCAGUUAAAGGCUAAAAAUCUUCUUUCAUGCUGAUUCAUGAACGAAGCCUCUCCUUACGUUUUGCAAGUUUAGCGCCUACAAGGUGUUUGAUGUUUGUCCACAGUUAAAACAGUUGGCCACUGAUCAUAAAAUGCAAUUAUAGUUUUCGUUUCCUCAUAAUUUUAAAUCUUUUGUAUUUCAGAAAGCUUUAUUUGGACUAGAAAAGUCUUUAGUUUUCUUUACACGGGCUCUUUUAGUUUACUUAAUUUGUUGGUAAUUGCAGCUUUUUCUUUGCAUUCCUUUUUUUUUUUUCCUUUAAUAGAAUGGGGGUUUAAGCAUCAAUAUCGAUAGGCGGCUCGAUAUGGAGGUUAACAUGGUAGAAUCAGGAAAUGAUUUUCUUUUGGUUUUUACCUUUAAGUUUCUUUCUAAUUGAAACUUCAUGAGCUAAAUAAUUUUUCUUUUUUUUGGGGACGCAUUGUGUUAUAGGAAGAUGCUGAUGGGAAUAGAUGCCAAAAACUGGGAAAAUCCUCUUCUUUUUAUCGUAGGAUAUAUUCAGAGGUAAUUAGAUAAUCAUGUGAAUGCAGGAAUUGUUUCUUACUUGUAGGAGUUAUGUGGAGGUUCAAAACUUCACUUGAUUUUUGGGUUAUGCCUCUGGUUUUUUUUCCUUCUGUGUACCUGGUAAAGAUCAUUUAGUAAUGCACUGUACUGAAAUACCUGAGCGAGAAUUAUGGAAUGACUUUGUCCAUGCAUAGGUAGAAGAUGUUGGAUGGGAGCAUCUAGUGAGGAUGGGGGAGGACCUGACAUAUUUGAGCUUCAGGGUCAUGUAAGACCAUUUUGCUUUUGCAUGUCUGCGUCUGCUUAUAGCUAUUUUUACGUCUAGCUUGUUCAAUGAUACUCAAGGCAUCUUUCAAUUUGUUCCAGUGACAAGAAAGGAAGAGCACACAUUUUGGAAAUAACACUGGAUACUAAUUAUCCAAAAUGCCCGCCUUCAAUAUCAGCUGUCAGUCUAUCUUACAAUUUGCUUUUUUUUGUUUCCUUCUUUAGCCUCUUUGUCCUGAGAUUUGACACCUUGUUAUCAUGCUUUUCCCAGGAUGUCCCUCAUAUCUUUAACUUAGACUGGUCUGGAAACUCGAAGCUCAAGGAUGCUGUGGUGCAAUUUGAACAUGUACUAGUGACCAUUUUUUCCAAGAGUUCUUUAAAAAUUUUCUUUUUAUCUUUAUCAUCUGCAUGUUUCUUCACAUGGACCGGUUAUCUCUUCAUUGACAUGGUGGCUAAUUCUCCUUGAGUUAGUCGUUGUGUUGACAUGAUUUGUCAAAUCCUUAAUCCCAUGCCAGCAUGUUGAUAAGCUUCAGGAUUUCUGGUCCACGUUAGAUGAUAUUGACCGGUCUCUUUGGGUGGUUGAUCCCAAGGAUCCACAUUUUGCAAUGUCGUACCGCCAAAUCAACAUAGGUUAUUUGUUUUCAUGUUUUAAUUUUUUUGGCUUUAAAUGUAUCCUUUAAGGUGCUCUUAACUUGUAAACUUCUCUCUGUUUUGUAGGAAAUGAUUGCUACAUCACCUUAUCGGUAAAUGCCAGUGAUCCAAGAUCCUUGCCCCAGUAUAUCAUCUUCUUUAUCACUUUGGCUUGAUGAAUUGUGUUUGCCAGAACAAUAACAGAUUUCAUUUCAUGUAGAUGUCGCUUUCUUGGUUCAGAUGCAAAUGUGAACCUUUUGAGAAGGAAAUGGAAAAUAAAUUGCAAAAGAUGGUAGCUACCAGUGAUAUCUCUGCAAAUUAUCACCUCUAUUCCCAAUUUUAUUUGUGUCUGGAAUUUUCAUUUAUGUGAGACUAAAUGGCUUUAGUGCCUAACAUACUCUGUCCUGCUGAGGAGCUGUUUGAGGAUUAAUGAUAUCCAAUUAAUUAAUCAAAUUUGCAUAGAGCUUGAAUGCUUAAUGCUGACCUUUAUGCACCUUUAGUACCUACUUCUAUAACUUUCCACUUCCAAGUGUCUACAAGUUGUUUGACUAUAGACAAGCUAUUUAAAUCAUGAAUCCUAUAGCAGAGAGGUCAAUGAAUCGUGGGCUCUAGGCUUAGUUUUUAUUUUGGUUUUAUGCAGUUACUGAAAAUCCUAAUACAGAUAAAACUGCACUAUUUCCUACCCAGCAACUUAGCUUAUGGAUGCCAUUGCAAUAGCACAACUGUCACUGUAGGCAUUUUUGUCCUCCAUGAUACAUGCCACUGCUGAUGUCAUGAUGAGGAAAACCCAAAAGAUGAAGAUCAUGAUGAUAGGCCGUAGAAUUCAUUAUUGUUAUGUACUAAUUUUUUACACAUUUUAGAGCUAAAAGACUUUUAAUUAGCCUUAGACGGUUUAAGGUUGCUAAGUAGAGCUAGAAGGUUUUGGUCUUGCAGCCCACAGUGAGCUUUUUUAUCGGCUUAAGGCUUGCCAGGCUAUCCUUGCAGUAUUCACAUCUAUAGAAGGUUUUAGGUGCUAUUAUCCAGGAAAAGUGCAUAAUUUAGUCCAAUAGCUUCUUCUCAUCCACGACUUUGUUGAUUGCCUGUCAUGGUGUGCUUUUUAAUUCUAACAGGGUCAAAGAUAGAUCAUUUUCUGAAAAUCUGACAAGCAUAUUGGAUAUUGAGCUCCCUCAACCUCCUGAAGUCAGGAAAGAUGAUCGGCAAACUGAAUGUGGGGUUUGUUAUGCCCAAUAUCUGCCCAUUGGUAUGGUUUCUCCAAUAUUAGCAUUUUUCCCCCAAGAAUAUAUGUGUACACAUCAUUAGAGAUAAUUAAGGUGGUGCUAUCUGAUAGAUGAUGAACUUGGCUCAAAGAGCGGGAGUGCAACUGACUACACAUGUGAAAAUAACAAUUGCAGUAGGGCCUUCCAUAGUGUUUGUCUUCGAGAUUGGCUGCGUUCAAUUACAACAACAAGGCGGUAUGUUUGUUCUUCAUGUCUCUGUUAGUUUUAUUGGCUUUAGUCCUUGAUUUGUAAGACACUUUAGUGUUCCUUUUCUCUACAAUUUGGACGAAUAUGGCUUUCCUGUCUGCUGUAGGCCUAUGGCAGCAUAGUUGAACAUGUAGGCGCUAGUCAUUGUUGUAUAUUAUUUUAUUUCUUUUUGUUCUUGUUUUCCUUUUUGACAUGUUUGAUUUCUUCCUCCUCGUCUUCUUCUUCUAUCCCCGUCUCUCUCUCUCUCUCUCUCUCUCUCUGUGUUGUAUACUUGUAUCCUCCAUCCAUUUCUCUUCACUCAAGGGUGCUUUAUAUGACCCUCCCCUCUGUGGCACAUGUGGUUUAUAGACGAAUAUCAUCUCUUUCUGAAUAGCUCACAGCUUUCUGAAUCUCUUGUUAUUUGAUAUUUUUUGACCUUUUGGUAAAUCUUAUUAGUGCUUCUUGCUUUGGAUGACACAGCUAACAUCUUUGAAACCAAAUGCUAGAAUUUUAUUUCUGGUGUAAUUCAAGUAACUAGGUCAAUUUUAUAGUCAUUAUCUUUGGUAACAAAAACACAAUUUGCAGUAUACUGGUUUCUUUGUCAACUACUUGUUGUAAGACGAAUCUCUAAUACUUCUUCAGGAUUUGAUUACUUGGUUUGUAAUAACUUUUCUACUUCUGUUACAGGUCAUUUGAUGUUCUGUUCGGGAAUUGUCCAUACUGCUCCAAUCCUGUUGCAGUCAAAAUUAUUAAUAAGAAGUGAUGCUUUAUUUCCUCGUCCUUGAUGUUAUCAAUAUGUAUGAUAUACUUUUGUUGCUCCAUGAAAGCGAGCAAUGGAAACAGGAUAUCAAAAUAAAAGACUGGCGUUUUGAGUGAAGCUGGAAGCUUCAAGCUUCUUUGGAAGAAAUGUCACAAACCUCAAGAAUAAUACCAUGUGAAAUCCCUUCUAAGGAGAACUUUGAAGUGAUGGUUCAGAGUGGGAAAUUUAAUUAGUAGAUAUGUUUUUCUAUCAAUCAAUUGAAUCAAUUGACCCUGUGCUACACUUGGGGACUUUAAACAGCUUAGUUCAUCUCCAAUUUAUGUUCAUCCUGAUAUUAACUGUGUGCCUGUUUCCUCCCUGUCAAUGUUAAUGCAUUUUAUUUGUGGACAAAAAUCGUUGUAUGUUUGAAGGUUGGCAAAUGAUGUUGCGAGUUGUGGUGGGGCGUCUUCGCCGAUUAAAUAGCUUUGAAAACGUUGUAACGUGCUUAAGUUGCAGCGCUUGAAUUUGACAAAUCGCAUCACCUUUCUCCUACUUUCAAGGAUAUAUUUACUGGGCUGAACGCACGCACAAUUUAUGAAAAGCCUAUGUAAUCUAGGCAAUUGCCUAGGAGAUCAGCCCCCAGUUGCUGGGCAUUGACAUAUCAACCUGAGAGAUUCGUACAAACAGGGGUAUGUGAACUCCGGUAAUCGUUUCUUAUUUGCAAACAGAACCACUAAAAUCACUAGGACGAUGGUUUGAGGGUCAUUGCUUGUUAUGGAAUUUCUGGGUCUUGUACGGACAGGUUAACCUUUUCGUAACAAUGGUAUCAGAGCCAGGCAACGAACCCAACAUCCCAGGUUCGAAUCUCGUAGAGGCUCUGCCUCCUUGAAGGGGGAGUCCCAAAAUUACCAGGCCGUCGAGGGCGUCGGCCUCUAAGGAGGGGCGUUUGUUAUGGAAUUUCUGGGCCUUGUACGGACAGGUUAACCUUUUCGUAACAUUGCUCUCCGGGGACCUUUGUUUUAAACUCCUGCAGAUCAAACUGUUGUGUUGGGGCUCCAUCGCUCAAUGCCGAUUCUGUUGAAGUCUUGAUUUUGCUUCUUGGGCUCCAUCAUCAUGUGGCACUAGGCUCCUAGCUAAUGAUCAGUACUUUGGUGAACUUAUGAAUGGCAGUUCAUGUUAAUUGAAUUCUGUAAUUCCAAGGCAGAACGUGCGAAGCCCAGAGAAAGUCAUUUUACACAAGGCAAGUGUAGAACUCAAGUCAAGUAAAUUGUGUAUUUUGUGGGACUCCUAAAGGCAGGUUAGGGUAGAGGGUAGUAUUUUAGGUUUAGCUGCUUCCAAACUCUCGUAUGCCGACAUUGUUGAUGUGAUGUUAAGUGAAGAAGUGAGUUUCAAAAAUAUUUUGAGCUUUUCUUCAGCUUAAGAAAAGUCAAUUUUGAAAAAUAAAAUCCAAAGCAAAAGAGCAUAAAAUUGGAUAAGGUCGAAAGAAAAAUGCUAAGAAAUGUCGCUUUCUCAUUGAGGGAGUGCCCCUCAAUUAAAACCAGAAUUUGGACCAUUCCGAGACUUUUUUGUUGAUCUUCGCACUUGACUUUGUUUUAUUCCCUUCGUUGCUUCUGUUUCUUCGGCUAAAAUUAAGCUACGAAGGAAACACCAAGACAACAUGAUUUGACUAGACCAAUUCGUAAUGGUGUAAUGAUAGCUUGGUUGUUGAAAACAUGAUUUAUUUAUCGACACAAACCCAUUUUUAUUCUCGUUUUCCACAAUGAACAAAAGGCAUUAUUGAUUUACAACACACGAUACACAAAAUAAUUUAUAGUAAGACACAAACAAAUACACUGUGGUAUGAUUACAUUAUUGACAUUUGCUCACAAAUUCAACUAUCAAUGGCUCUCAUCUCCUGUAUACUCAAAUAAAUAGUGUAUCAAAUUAUUAUUCAUGCACCAGCCAAUGCCCUUCUGCUUCUGCAUGGCUUUCCCAUCACAAGUUGUGGCAGCAGGCGCAUGUACGCACGUUGAUUCCAACUUUACUACUAUAACUUUCAAUCGAGAAUCCAGUGUGUGAUAAGGUAAAAGAUGAAUGGGCGUUUUUUUUCUUUUUUGACUUUGGAUUGCAACUUUAGAUUCCUGCCAGGCAUUCGGGUGGGGCAACGGGGAAACGGGAUCUGUCGGUGCAGUAAUCAUAGAUCAUGUGAUUGGCGCGAACCCAGUGAUAUUUCCUAGCCUCAAGCGGGGUUAGUCCUCUGUAGUUAGGUCCUUCCCACCAAUUGUUUGGGUUGAAGGCACAAGCAGCUGGUCCUGGCACAACGCAACCGUCAACGUCGAAGUCUUUGUAGUAUGUGUAGAAGGGGGCUUUGCUCCAAUCAAUUUUCUCUAAUCCACCCCUGGUUGCCCAGUCAUCUGCAUCCCAAAGAGUGGAAAAGAUACCCAUGGGUUGCCUCUUUGGGUAUGGGAUUCCUAUCGCUUCAUUGUUCUUGAAAACCCUGAUGGGCACGUCGUCCACAUAGUAGCUGUCGACCAAACAUCACCCAUUAGCAAUAUGGAAGAUCCACACAACUACACUUUGUGUAUGUUAUGGACUUGUUCAAAUUCGUAAAAUUGUCUGAGAUAGAAUUGCCUAAAAUAUAAAGACUUCAUGAAAUAGAAGAACAACGAUACACUCUCAAGAGAACUAGUAACUAAGACUAGUCACAGUGUCUGUAAUAUUCAUAUUCUGAGUCAUCACAAACAUUGUAACCUUUUAAAAAUACUAAAACUCUCUCAAUCAUUACUAUUGUUUUUGUUUUUUUUUUAAAGAUGCUGCUGACUUACAUAAUAUUCUCCCGGGUCCAACGUAUAGUAUAAGUGUGAAAUCCUAUAGAGGGAUCAAACCACAGGUUGAUCCUUUGUUCCCUGCUACCUUUCCCGUUAACGUAGACAUUAGUUUGGACAGUGGUGGGUUGUCCCGAGCGAUUCCCCAAGAAUUCGAAAUCAAGCUCGUCACGAACAUAGUUGGUGUCGGAGUUCAUCUGAAACAGUUAAUAUUCAUGCAAAUCAAGAAAUCAAGCUUUUUUUUUUUGGUUUGUGGGGGGGGGGGGGGAAGAGGGGAGGUGUUAGAACUGAGAACAUACAUAGAAGGCAGUAACUGUUCCUGCAGAGUCACCAGGAAUGAGCUUGAUCUUCACACUAAAACUGCCAAACAAAUAUUGGUUCUUGGAAGCAAACCCGCAUCCUAAAUACGGAUGCAUUUCAAAAUUCAGGUUAUUGCAUCAUCAAUCUUGAAUAAUUCUUGAUACAACUAACAAAGGAUUCUGGUUAAUGGUCCCCUUGUACAAAAGCCAAAAAAGUAAAAAAAGAAAAGGGUAGUACCUGAAUUUCGGUCAAGAGUGAGCUGAAUGGCGGUUCCUCCAUCGAUUUGCCUGAUAUGAGAGUCGGACCACGUGACUCGAAAAUCUUGAACAAAAGUUGCCGGUCGUCCGCUAACAGUGACGAAGGAAAAGGCCAAGGCAUACAUGAUUGUACCAACAAAGAAAGCAGCACGUAUUGAACUCAAAUGUAACAUAUUGGCCAUGGUUUUAAGUAGUAUAUUUUUGCCUGCGUGCGUGUGUUUGUGGGAUGUGGAAACCAAGUCUCAGGCGCCUCUAUAUUUAUAUACACAAAUGCGGAAGUGAGGGAGGGGGGGAAGAAGGGGAGGUGAAAGGGACUGCUGCAUUCAAAUAGAAAGCGCCAUAUUACACCUUAGCUUUCUAAACAGCUAAUGGUAAGCCGUCACUGGACCACCCUCCCUCCCUCCCUCUCUCUAAUCUCUACCCAAUCCUAUUAUUGGAUUGUUGGUAGUAUACCUACUGUUUAUUCACUAUUCAGAGUUUAGGUUAUGGGCAAUUCUUCAUUUCAUGAUGUAUCCAUAACGAUCCUGUCAACUUCAAUAUUAUGCAAAUUAUGAUUUCCCGCGUAGUAAUCUGCAAUGCGAGGCUGUGAGCUAUAGUAGGAGGAUCUAUCCAUACAUGGAUCAUUGGAGGAGUUAUCGAAGGUAUGGGUCGAUUACCCUCUUUCACUAAAGUGGAACUAACAUUUGCUGCCUAACCCACUUUAAGCUGCUGUUGAAUUUUUUGACAUUCUAAUGGGUCAAAUAAGUCGUUUCAUACUUCUAAAAGUGUAGACUUUGACAGCAGGACUUAACUUGUAUCAAUUUAACAUGUCUUCUAGUCUAGACUCCAAUAUAGGAUUGCAUCAUUUUGAUCGGAAGCUCUCUUAAGACUCUUUCUAGACUUGGUCCUGUUUACCAGUUGUUCUACUAGUUCUCCAUAUGUGUCCACGUCCGAAAAUUAAUUCUCUGCAUUGAUUAGACAAGCAUUUCUACUAGUAGUUAUGUUGCUGCAGGCUUCGUUUCAUCCUUCACAGUCAAGUAAACAUUUUUUUUCCACCAAGAAAUUGAAAGAAGAAAUUGUGCCGCUAUAUUCUUUUGUAAGAGCAACCUGUCGACACAUGCAAAAAUAAAAUAAAAUAAAAAUAAAAACAAAGGUAAGAAUAAAGAAUAUGAUGAAGAGAAUAACUAUAAGAUUUUGAAUUUCUUUUGGUUAAAACACGAAUUGGGAAGGAAGAGGAGGGAUUUUCACCAAAAUGCCAAUUAUUUUCUUCUUUUUCCCAAACCCUCUAUGCUAACUGAUCUGCAUAGCUCGUACUGAAAAUGUCAAAGAACAUAGAACUCCUAAUAUGCUAAGUAACCGACAUUUAAGUCCAACCGAACAAUACAGAAGGGCAAGCAAGUGCCUCAAUUGAUAAUUUAGUUAAAGGACAUGAGACUAUUCAGUAGUUAAGGUUUUUUUUUUUGGGGGGGGGGGGUUGGUGUGGAAUUUUGUGCAAAGGUAUCUUUAAUUGUUGCAUCAGUUCCCAAAAGUAAUGUUGUUAAAUUCGGACCGAAUAACGACUCAACAAAAUUAUUGGAUUAAGGGUUGAUUAGUCGGAUUGGUCGAACCAUUACUCGCUAACGUGAGCAUGGUGUUAUAAUUGUUUUAUAUUUUUAUAAAGUUAAGGAAUAUUGAAAUAGCGUUCUUGGUUAUAUUUGCCAACCAUACAAAAUGUUACAAAAAUAUAAAUUUUGCAAUCAAAUAUACACCUAAAAUAUAAAAAUGUGAAUUCAAAUCUAAAAUAUGCUCAUUCUCCAAAAUUACUUUAAAAACUAAUUAAAACAAAUCAUACCCAAUUCGAGAUUUUUUUUUUGUUGGGAAUAUGGCUUUAUAAUGCAAGUUGGAAUAACUGAUGAUAAGUUGAUAAGGAUAAACAUUUCUUGAUUUAGAGAUUAUUUAGGAAAAUGAGUGAUUUUGAUGUUUAUACUAAUUGGAUGGUGUUUUCUUAUUCCUAUUAAUAAAUGAAAGUUUUAAAAUUUAGGUAAUCCAAAUUAUGUCUCAGACAAAUAAGAACAAAAAGUUUGAUAACGGGAUCAAACAGUUGAAUUGGGCCACUGUUUUGACUGAUUUUUUGAUGAUUUUGACUGAUUUUCGAUCGACCGGAGUGAUUUUGUAUUACUAACCAACUUGAAAAAAAAUGCGAUUCGCGAUUGACUCGAUCAGAUCGAUCGGUCCGAUAUGUGUAAGUGGUACGGAAGUUAGCCAUUUGGAACCUUGUUAGGAAAUUCGCCAAAUUAUCACGUGGCAAACCACGAGUCCUGAUGAAAUUCAAUUUAAAAAAACAUAGAACUACAAACUAUUCACGAAAUUGAAACUGAGAUUUUCAAUGGCUAGUGAUUAAUGCGCUCAAUGAUCUUACGAAAUUAAUUGUCCGUCCUGUUGUUAGGCGGAGAGCAAUUACGAUAUACUACUUUUUUUCUACUCGAACUGCAGACUAGUUGAUCUACAUUGAAUCAAGAAUCCGAACGACUCAUAAUUCCACUGAACAAUCAGCUACCCUUUUAUCUCCGGUAACAAGGGGAAGAGAAAAAUGAGAGUUUAAUCUACUUAUUGAAUCGCAUGUUUUCUCUUCGAACUCGAAUGGGUUAAGGUGGUCGGGGGAUUUCAUUGAUUAAGGUAAUUGCUUGGCCCAAAAAGUUCUGGUGCGUGCCGAUGCCUUGAAUCCAGAAAUGCUUUAUACGGUUUGGCACCGCAGAAGCAGAGCAGGGAGGAAGGAAUACCGGCGGCCCAUUUAGGCAACACAUUGCACAUCUCUGGUGCACAAGGAAGAAAAUUAGAUGUUGAUAUAGAUAUGGCGGCAUUGGCGGAUGGAGGACCCGCCUCUUCAGUCUUCAUCCUUGUGGGCACACCGCCAGAUACUAUUUCACCUGGGUUUAGGCCAUAAUUUGCCACCUGAGAGCCUACUCCAGUCCAGCCUCAUUGCUAUUAGGAUUUGAAGGUUAACAGUCACCCGGAAGCCUUCAUGGACUACGUGGCUACUUGAGCAUCAAUGAAAUUUUCUUUCUUUUUUAUGUAAAGCAUAGAAUACAUACUGUCUUGAAUAAGAUCACGGAUGAAUGAUUGAGUUGUAUAGAAUAAUCACUUUAUGUAGAAGAGAAUAGGCCAUAAUGACAUUCGAGCUCCAUGAAUUGACUAUUCUGCUACGUGCCUCUGUCGUUGUCCAGGUGAUGGAGCUAGCGCGCGAGUUCAAAAAUUUUUCUACUGCCUUCUGGCUUUUGUGUUUUACAAUCAGAAUUUGCUAUAUUCAAACUUCCUCCCCCAAUAUCCUAGAUGGUCUUUGCUCUACUCUAAUAAAGACUACGAAGAAGGAAAGAUUGCAUUAGAUAAAAAAUUUUUUUUUUGGUCACCAAGCCGUGACUACAAAGAAAGAAUAUAAUUCCUUCUAAUAAAGGUGAAUGAACAUCUUCGGAAGGCUUAAAGGCCUUCUCAAAAGCUUGAUAUUGUCAGCAACAACGAUUAAACGGGCGCCCAAUGUCAAAAUUGAGAUUAGUAUUAUGGAAGUUUCAUGAACAAACUAGUAGAUAUUACGAAUGAAAAUGGGGGCGAGUACCUGUCCAUGCAGGGGAAGAGUGGCGCGGAGGUUGAGGCGGGGCCGGAAUGGCGGAAGGGGAACUUUUUCUCCUCCUAUCUAAGGGAGCACAGCACACCCCCUCGCAUCCCCUGUCAUGCCUCUUUUCUAAAUAUUAAUAUACUAUAACAUUUAUGUAUUUUUUUAUACGUAUAUAUGGAAUGAAAAUCACGGCUGUUGUUAUUAUGUAAAUAUAUUGUAUUAAAUAAAUAAUAUAUUAUAUUAUUAUGAUAAAAUGAUGCAAUUUUUCGCCAAAACUUGAAAAGAAUGAUCAAUAAAAUUAUUAUUAGAUAUAUAUAAAUAAAAAAUUAAAUCAAAUAAAAAAUAAUAUGAUAGCACAGUGGGACGGGUGCACCUGCAAAUAGUAGUGCAAGGCGGGACAGAGUAGGGGCAGGAGAAACUUUUGUAGAACGGGGCAGGCAGGCAGGGAGCUGGGGAAGCUUCCUCGCGUUGAAGAAAUUAUUUGAAGAAAUUAAAAAGUUUUUUUUUUUUUUGUUGAAGAAAUUAUUUGUUUCUAGCAAGUUUCUUUUGCAUAUCUCCUGAUCUUCUGCACCAUUUUUUUUUAAAAAAAAUUUGGGUACUAUUCUUCUAAACAGAUUAAGGAGAAAAACAUCGACUAACAUUAUUAUUAUUCUUUUUUAAAAAAAAAAAUAGCUCAACCGUCCAAUUUUAUUGAAUAUAGUUGGGGAGGUGAGAGCAAUUUAAUAAAGUAUAAUUAUGAGGUUUCUGAUUAAAAUUACCCCUUAGUGACAUAUAGUAGAUUGGUGGCAGCAGGGUGGGACCUUGGAAGUGAGGCCUACCAUUCUCCGUACACUCUGACGAGGGACUUUCGAGGGGAUGAGACUUGGCAGUCCCACAGGCCCAAUGGGCGAAUCCGACAAAAGAAUCGCUUUUGCUUUCGACCUAGAACAGGAAUGGAAAGGUCUGACGCGGCAAAAAAUUCAAGUCACACCACACGUCGGUAACAAAUCGAAUUUGGGUUCGGAUCCCACCUCCACGUUUCCCUUGGGUUUGCGUGCCCCAACAGCAGGGCCGUGUCUCUUUCGUAGCUCUAACACCAACCAUAUGAUUGGCUCUAGACCACGAUAAGGAGGAACAAAAUUUCAAGGCCUUCGGAUGAGUCUUGACCAAAUUAUUUUAUUUAUGGCGAGGGGCCGCGGCUAAUACUACUAAUUAUAUUAAGCUGUGGAAACAUGUUUUGACUAGGAUGCCAAGGUUCAACAUUCUUGGAAGAGCUUUCUGUUGUGCUAAAAAAAAUAUAUCUUACAUUUUUUUGAAAAGAAGUCGAGAAAUAUCUUACAUCUCUCCAGUUAAAAACUACAAUUAGGAUCAUUCAGGAGAUAAUUUAGUUUAAUACUGGCAGUUGCUCUGUCAAUGAACAUCAACUGGUCCAUUCUUGGGGUUCAUAUGAGAUUAGACAUGACCUAAUGAGACGGUUAAGCUACUCUUAGACAGGCUUUAAUGCUCGGUUUAGCACUUGCUCCUUCCAAGGUAAGGGCAGAAUCGACCGUCUAACGACAGCGUGCGCUCUAUUAUUAUCUCCAGGACUUGGAUCGUUAACUUAACUUUCAUUCCAGCCGUCAAUAUCCUGCACGUAUUUUUGUUGUUGUUCGAACUAUCAAAUUUUAAAGUCCUAACUUCAUUAUUCCUGGCACUAGUUUUCUCAUGUCGUACCACCACAUUUACAGGAAACGCAUCUUUUUUAGCCACUCAUCAUGGCUCAUGGGAUGUAUAUUCCUCCACCCUUUUACCCAAUUGAUCCGACUGAUUAAAUUUGGCACCGUCCGAAAGAAUCGACUGCGGAACUAGAAAGGCAUGCAUGGAAAUGUAAAAGUCUGCAUUAUUGUUACGCUAGCUGGUAUGAUGUCAAAAUCGGUCACGCAAUUGUCUGAUACAGACCUAUAUAUAUAUUAUACAAUGCACAGGUUUAAAUGGCUGCCAUUGGAAUUGAGAUAGAGAUGAGGAUAGUAGGGCAUCUCUCAUUGAUGAUGAUACAUUUAGAAGGAUUCAGAGCAUUCAACCACCUCUUUAUCAGUGUAUAUGGCAAAAUCCCAUCUAGUCAGUAUCCAAGUCAGCUCAUACUUUGCCCAGGUCUGUAGCCCGUGAGCAGUCGACGCCAGAUUGUGGUAGGAUAUUGCAAUCUACCAGCAAUUAAAACUCACAUCUACGACAACCCAGAUUAGGGUCCUACAGUCGAUUAAUUGCAGGUUAGACAAAUUCGAUGACAUGGGCGAAUUGUAAAACAGCGUUCACUGAUGUAAGCGUCAUCGUUUGGUACACACAAGAAGUCAAUUUGUAAAUGGCGUCUUCCGAUCCAUCAAAUGGUGUCAACUUGUAUCUAAAUCAUCGAUUGGACAAACAAAUUCAACCUCCGCUCCACCCAAAAUUUUUACCACGCACGAGAGUGGGAGUGUGUGUGGGUGAAAAGAUGGAGGAGGACGUUGCUUUGAAUUGCAUGACAGGUAGUUUUCAAGGAUUUGUAACAAAGGGUAAAUCAAUUCUUCCGCAAAUGUAUGUGUUCUUCCAGGUACCUGCAGGCUUGUGACUGUGUUUCUUGCAACAAGUUGGUAAUUCUGAUAGAUUGGCAAUUCCUGUUUCAUCGAGUUUCAUGUCCCCACAUAGUUAUUAAAUCCAGCCCGGUCCGACGGACGAACCGAUCAAAUCAAUGAACCAGACAUUGGACCGGACUGGAUUUUAAAUUAGAUCAUUUAAGCAAUCAAAUCGUUGACUAGUCAAUGGAGCGGCGAUUCGACUGGAUGAAACCGGAAACCUGCCCGAUUUUGUCUAGGAACCGGAUUUCGUAUAAAAAUUUUAUUCCUUUGUUGGAAUUAGACCUCUGGUCCUUUAAGCAAGGCGCGUACCACCAAGCUACUUCACCAUUUGUUGAUUGAGUAGCUUACUUAUAAUAUAUAAACGUUUUGUCAACUUUAUCUUUUUUUUUUUUUAUUUCUUUGGGAUCUUUUAAUAAAAAUUUAUGACCCCAAACUUUAUAAGUUAUAAAAUGGACUUCAAAAAUGACAUAUUACAUAAUUCAUUUUAAAGACAAAUAUUAUUUUUAAUAAUUUUUUGCACUUAAAAUUCAUAAAUAAGUUAGAUAAUUACACUAAACAUAGAUAAAAUUUUAUACUUGAAGUUUGGUAUAUUACUAAAUAACUUAAUAUUUUAUUGAUUCUUAUAUGAAUUAAUUAUUUUAUAUCAAAUUAAAUUAUAUGAGCAUUUGUUAUGACAUUAUUUAUUAUAAUUUAUAUCAUAUAUCUUAUAUCAAAAAUUAUGAAAUAUAAUAUUUACAUAUAAUUAGUGACCCACCGGUUCAACCACUCACCCACUGAUUGAACUAGUAACCCGUUGAUCCAUCUCGUUCGCCGGGUUCCUCCCGGGUUGGAUUUAAUUACUAUGCUCAGAAGUAGUAAAGAACAGGAAACGAGUUCCAACGUCGCUAAAAAAGUAGGGUGACAAAAAAUUGCGACAUGAUAAACCCAAGGUUAUAAGUAGUUUAUCAAAAUGGAAAAUUUGUAGUGCAGGAAGCUAUGUUUCAGUCCUUCAGCACACCUGCAGGUGGUUCUAUAGAGCAUUAAAAAACGGGUGGUUCCAUGUAGGUGUAAGUUUAUCAGGUUACGCGCUGUAUACUCUUUAGUCCGAGAAGCCGGGAGCAUGUUCUUGAUUCCAGAGGAGACUCCAAGCCCAGAACGGAAGAAAGCAAAGGAUUCCAGAAUCAGAAACUGGUAUAGUCUUACAACUAAAAUUGGAUUUAGAGAGAAGUUAAUGGCUUUCUCCGCUGGAAGGAGGGGUAAAGAAGUCACGUCCGAUUUGGGAUUAAAAAUCAGCUUAAACUCGGAAAACUUCAAAUUGAAACAAACGAUUAGAUCAGAGACUGAGUUGAGUUGGCUUGAUGUCGGACGUAAACUGUACUAUGGAGUUGCAGGAAACUCAUGUGUUCCAUUCGCUUCAUGCAUCGAAUACAUAUUUGUUUUGAGCAAUUAAGCCGAAAAGCACCAAAUACUAGUCUGUAUUGUGAUAGCAUCAAACGAAAGCAAUAUACGUUACCAAAUAAAUUUCCAGUGAUUGAUCACUAUACUUUAAGGUCACUUAAUGCAUUUUUGCAAAUUCGGUUCAUACGACGGUUUGAUUCACGGUGCGAGUGAUUCAGGGAAAAAAAAAAGGACGGCAGUGAAAAGCUUUGCCUAUUUGGGUACUCAUAGAAAAGAUCCAGCUUGUGUUCGUCACAGUCUGCAUGCAGGCUGAACUGCAAAUUUUUCUUUUGUUUAUUAUUAGUGGGUUCAUGCCUUACAAUCGCUAGGACUUGUAAUUACCCAACAAGAGGAAGGCCCAUGGGCCUGUUCGCAGCACCCAAACACCAAAACUGUACCCCUUUUAUAAGGGCAAAUUACACUUUACUCUCUUAUGAUUUAAUGUUAUUUGUACAUAAUCCCUAUAUAGUUUUAAAAACUGUAUAUAAUCCCCUCAUGAUUUUAAUUAAAGUGUCAAAGUGACGAAAGUUGAACAUUAUUUAUUAACCAUAGGGGGGUUAUGUGUAUAUUUUGAAAACUAUAAGAGGGUUAUAUGGUAAAAUAUUAAAUCAUAAGGGGGUUACAUGGUAAAAUAUAAAAUCAUGCGGGAUGGUUAGCGUAUCAUGCAUAUUAUGUUUGUAUAUUUUUGUCACUUCAACCAUUUUAAUUUUUAAAUAAGAGUAAUUAUGAUAUUUUCAUAGGUUCCGUUACGAAUAAUCAUUUUCGUCACUUUAACACUUUAAUCCAAAUUAUAAGGGAGUUAUAUAUAGUUUUUGAAAUUAUAGGGUGGUUAUGUUCAAAACCACUAAAACCAUAUGGGGAUAAAGUGUAAUUUGACCAAGAAAAAAAAAUGCCAUUAACCGUCUAGAUGAAUUAAUGCGAUUCAACGCCUCCAUGCCCUGAUAAAUUAUGGGUUGGAAUUAUUCAGAAAAUCAAAACUUGAAAUUACUAUGAUAACACCAGACCAGUAACGUAGCCUUCAAAGCCCAACUUUUUCAUUAUUGUAAUGCUUCAGUUACUCCAGUCUGCUGUGCUUUCAGCAAUUGAUGCAUUUCCGUAAGUGUUGAUUCGUACGCUAUUUUAACUAAAAUUUUUUAAAGUAAUUCAGGAAAACAUGAUAGGGACAAGUCCAUAUGCUAGAAAGAUGCAGUUUUUCAAGUUCGUACUUUGUAUAGAUAAUUUGAGUGACAUGAUUUUCGUUUUUUUUUUUGGGUACUAUCUUAGUUCUAUUCAAAAUGACUUUUUUCUGACAUUUUUUUUAUACGAGUAUGGGGCUGCUUUUUUUUUUUUUUUUUUUUGGGUUUCCUUCCAAAAUUCUAUUUAGUCUAAUAUAUACAUUACAGGGAUAUGAUUUAGCGGCGCUGCUUCAUUUGAGUUUGCGCACUCUGCUAGUUGAUCGCUUAGUCAAAAAAGUUCCAAUUGUAGUACAUGAUAUAUUAAAGAGUUUUGACUUUUUGAUUUCAUCAUCAACUUCUACAAGUAUUUUCUUGAGUCAACUUUAGGAGUAUGGCACAUGAUAUCGCCACAUGACAUUCAUAGACCUUUAAGAUGUGUUUAUACCAAGACAAGAAUUAGAGGAGAAGAAUAUGGACUUUCCCUAAAUUCAUCAACAAUUUAUCAUGCUCAAGUCCCAUUGAAACCGUCAAUAAAAGUACUGCAUACCAUCAAGGAUACAAAUACAAUCAAAUGAAUCUCAUCAACAUUUGGAUUUGCAAUUUUGCAGAAGCAAAAAGAGUGGCGCUAAUCCCCGAGCCGCAAGCGGUACAAGAAAUCUCCAGCAAUGGGCAAAAUAUACAGCACUUUGGAAAGCGAAAACACCCCCAAGAAAUCUUAACAGCUAUAGUCAGGUGUCCGUUAGGGUGUCUGGACGUGGGCAAGAGUGGCCUCUUGCUGUUUUGGGGCUUUGUCUUGUUUCCUCCAAAUAUCAAAUGUACACCCUCUGCUUUCCUCUCUAUCUGUUGUUGCUGUCCCAUGAAUCGUGUUCCAUAAGGCUGAUUAGCAGUAAUAUACCAAUUUUUCCUCAUCAGCUCACCAUCAUACCAUAUCUGGCCCUAUGGAAUUCUGAAUUCUAAAAUUCUAAUACUACUGCUGGAUGCUAAUGGGCAAUUUCUCUCUUUCUUCCAUUAUAACACGUACGUUCAAAAGGUCUGGACUAGUCUGGCUCAUGGAACGAGGUUAAGGUUCUUCCCUUUUCGCACCUCUCUUCCCUUUUGCUUGCUUCUCACAACUUUUUGAACUUACUGCCCAAACUGUUUUGUCCUUCCACGUUGUUCUAUCAUCUGAGAUGAUCAGCACUCUAGGAAUCCGCAGCUGGAGAGCGACCUAUGUUAGUAUCAGCUUAUUCUUUCCCAAUUUCACUGACGCUUCCUUUUCUUUCAUCUCUUGUUAAACUCUUCUGCUGAUUUACUUCACAUCUCUAUCAUCAACGCUGCCUUUCCAGUUCCCACCUCCUACUUAAUUCCCUCUCCCUCCUUCCAUCUUUUUCUCAUCGCAAUUUCCCAACUCCGCCAACUCUCAAAAGUCUCAUCUCUUCAGCUCUAUACUUUCUCUGAAAUGGGUAGCCGUCAGGGCCUCACAUACAGCAGGCUUCACCAUUUUGCCAUUUCUGUUCUCAUUCUCCACCUGGUUUUUAGCUCAUCCCACUUGAGAAUAUUGUUCAACGCUGAAGGUAAAUUUGUUUGCCAGUGAAAGCUUUUAAUUUCUCCCACUCAAUUCACCAAUUUUGAACUUCAGUUUCAAUAUGUUUUUUUUUUUUUUGGCUUUUUCUUCAGGUAGACCAAUAGCUAAAACUGUUAGCAAUUCAAAGAUAGGUUCGAGGCCGCCGCGGUGCGAUCGGAAAUGCAACGCUUGUGGGCACUGCCAAGCUAUUCAGGUGCCUACAAAUCCCCAAAUCAGAGACGGGCACCAGAAUUAUCCCAGAAACUCCACCACUACUGUUUCCACGAUUUUCCAUUCCAGAGGAGAUGAUUACUCCAACUACAAGCCCAUGAGUUGGAAAUGCAAGUGUGGAAACCUCAUUUUCAACCCCUGAUUUCUUUCUUCUUCUCUUCUUCUUCUUCUUUUUUUUUUUUUUUGAUUUUUUUGAUUUUUCAUGUUUUUGGUAAUCCUGUAUAUAAAUGAUAAUAUCAGUUCCUAAAACCAUUCUAUUAUCAGUUGGUUUUUGAGGAUGGGGACCUUUUUCUUCAAAGGAUUUCUUAACAUGGUACUUCCAUAAUUCCGUUAUCAGAUAAUCAGAGAAUACGUUAGUAGAAAUUUGUGAAAUGAUUAAGAUAUGGUAUUCCAAAGUCAUUGCCCGUAAGCUGAUAAUGGAAUCUGCUUUUGUGAUCAGAGAAUCUCUGCCUCCACCAUACUUGCUACUGCAGUACUGAUGAAUCAUGAAUGGUGACAAGUAAAUGCAAGAAGUCCGUAAAACUACUAAACGUGCAGGAACCAUCAAUGAAAACGUGUAGUUCUAAACAAAUCCGGCGGCAAAACUCCGGGUAGCGGAUGAAAGAUAAAAAGUAGCAGAGAGUUUGGAAUAUAUGUAGUCUGGUUACAUAGACGGUACCGUUAGGUCUCCCUAGCAUUGCCCUUCGCACUCAUGUUACUACAACUGUUGUUUCACUCUCCCUGGCAACAAGUGAACUUGUAGGAUUAUGGUUGGGCUUUGAGAAGAAAAGAAUUUCAAUAUUCAGGUCAAAGUUUUCCAGUAGGAUCAUUUGUUCAAACUCUCUUAAUAAGGGCCAAAAUUCUAUUUGUGUUAAUUAGCCAGUAAAACAACAAACUGAAGACACCAUCUUCAAAUCUACCACUAGUAGUAAAUAUUGGGAUGCACAAAACCGCAGAAUUACUAAUUAAUGAGGCAAAACAGUGGCAAAAAACUUGGACUACUUUAUUGUCUAAAGCAAUUCGAUAGAGAGCAAAAAGAGACAGAGAGAGAAGUUACUGCUGAUGAUCAUUAUCAUGAGGGGAAAGAGCAAUGAUAAGAAAGAACAGCGAGGAGAAGUGUUGAAGCCUGUAGCAGAGGAAAUUGUCAAUUACUACUGCUUGUCUUGCAAGGAAUUAUUCUAUUAGAGUACUUCUUUUUAGCUUUUCCCGUGGAGGAGUAGAAGUAGAAAGCAGCAGUGGUCCAAAUCUACAAGUAGGGUGAUCUGCUUGCUUGAGCAAAUUGUCAUCACCUACAUUAGCAGGUAUAGGCACCAGCCUUUCCCGAGAGGCUGCCUAGCUAGCAUAGGUUUUUGUUGGUAAAAAGUUGCAGAAAACUAGAUAAGUUGUUUCCCAGAGGGAUUCUACUCUCAAAGUGGAAGACAAGUUGGAAAAAGGUAAAAAUUAAUCCGCACAUACUUUGGACAUUGGAGCAUCAAUUUAGGUCACUUAGUAAAAUUCAAGUUCCGAAAUUGCGUGCAAUAGGGAAAAAAGAAUCCUUCAAAAAAAAAAUAAAAAAAAAAGAGAGGAAAAAGAAUUGGAACACAAAUCUAUGCCUAGUUUAGAUUAAUUUUUUUUUAUUAUAAAUGGAAGAAUUUGAAUUCGAAACCACUAACUUAUACUCCCUCUUUCCAAUCAUGCAACUUAUCUCUGCAAGUCCAAUUUCGAUGGAAUUUUUAACUGCAUUAAAGAAAUUUUGAUGCAUCCGCACUAAAGUUGUCUCUACCCAAUUAUAUGUUGACACAUCAUCAUCAUCAGUACUGGUUAGAUUUUUUUUUUUAAAGAAUAAUUAUCAUUUUUCUGGUAUCAAAAUUCAAACGGAAGAAUAGUAGUCGUACUACCAUUAGCACAAAGGGUAAUGCCCUGCAUUAUAUAUCCAGAAAACUUCCAAGUCAAGAGAGCAGUUUUUUUCACUGCGUAACUGGCUUCCUCCUCCUCGCUUGCUUAAUCUUCCCACCUCCUGAGUUAGGCACGAUAUUUCCUGAGUUAAGCACUCUGCACAUUUAGAUUGUGUUUGGAUUGCAUUUUUCAUGAUUUUUCAUAGAAAAAAUACUGUAGCGAUCGAUGUAUGUGAGGAAAAAAGGUAAUAGGGAAAUGUCGACGGAAAACAGCAAUCCAAACAAGGCCUUAUCUUGUACACAUUGCAUUUCUCCAAAUAAAUCACAUCCUCAUAAAUCCGCUUGAACUUUGAAGUUACAACUAUUAAGUUACAAUUUCCAAACGAUUCAAAAUGAAAUCCAGUUAAUUAUAUCACAUUCUUAAAAAGAAAAAAGAGUUGCUAAAAAGGUCUGGUAUCCUAAUUUAACCAUGCGAAAAAAUGUUGAUCUUGCAACUACCCCCGAUUAAACGUACGCCCGGCUCCUUUUCUCUGAUGAGCAAUAAAAUCUCGAGUCAGUAAUGAAUGCUUGCUACUAGUUCUCGAUCAUUGAGGAAUGCAUCACCAGCCCGAUGAAUAAGUUAAAAACUUUUUUUUUUUUUUUUUGUCAAAAGGUCAAAGUUAAAAACUUUUCAUCACAGAAAAAAGAAGCAACUUUUUUUUGGCCCAGGAACUGAAGAAGAUCAGAGAGUUGGUGAUGCAUUCCUUCGACAGGUGGCCAAGAGUGAUAGAAAUGUGACAAGAAAAGUUCGUUUGAUGCGUCUGUCCAAACAGUUACCAUAGCAGUGGAAGCAGAACCAUUCUAGCAGGUAGAUGUAGAUCUUUUAUUGAUGAUGAUAAUCAGGUAUGACGAGACAUUUAAUGGAAAAUGGGAAGAGUUCCCACUGCAGAAAUCUGUUAUUUCCGCUUUCUCAUCAUACAGGCGAAGACCGUCUGAAAAUGCGUAUGCCACUGUGCGGCAUGCAUGUCAAUAUGACAAUGCAGCUCAGGUUAAAUCAACUUUCUAACCCACUGUGGAAAAAGAAAAGAAAAAAAAAGCAAAGCCAUGCUACUGAACCUUUUCUUGUGUAGAAUUUCUUGUUUUUAUCUUAUCCGUUUCAUGGAUUCUCCUUCACAUCAGAAUCUGUUCCUUGAAUUUAAUCUUGCAGAUGAUGUCGUUUGUUGCGAAAGAAGCCCGUCCUCCAGACAUCUUCAAUAACAAGGUGGAUGUUUAACUUAGAAUAUCACGCUGGAAGAACGAUAAAAUCGAAUAAAUUCCGAGUAUCAACUGUCAACUUGGGAAUUCAGAUUGUGGUACAAAACGUUAGAUGAAACAAGACGCAGCUGCGAUGUCGUCCCAUGAGAUUGACGAGAUGAUCCAUCUCCAGGCCAGGGAAAGAUCGGCAUCAGAUUGUCAAGUGUGGACAAUCAUCGGGAACUAUCAUAUUAUAUCCGCAAAUGCAAAAGGACAACUUCCGAAUCGGAUGCGAUGAAGACGGACAAAUGGGAGUCUGUGUGGCGCAUGUGCUGCUGAGAUUCCCGAAACCUUUUUUGCUUCUUGUUUUGGGCUCGCUUUGCUUACGUUCUGGAUUUUUUUUUUUUUUUGCUUUUAUUAUCUGGGUAGUUUCAUUUCAUAACUUCUAAGUAAUUCAUCAGCUUGUUGCGACGGAAAUGACUGGCGUGGAUGGUAUCGAGUAAUUUACUGCUCAUCGUUCCACGCCAUGGAGAUACAUCAAUGGUACCGGGCAAGAAACUUAACCUUGCGCGGGCAAUAGUUCACAAGCUCAGCAAAAUGACAUGCAACAGACAAAGCUUUUUAUUUGAUCACAGACAAACCUACAUGUGAUGUGAUCGAGCUUCCAAAAGUACAAACAUUUUACUUCCUCUCAGCUGCAUGUUCCUCCAUCACCAGCGUACGUCCUACACCUAUUGCUACUGAAUGUCAAAGGGCUUCCUUCUUUUCCUAAAAGCAGGAGAAAUUAGCACUAUUAGCCAUAAGCCCCAUCAGCUAUAUUUUAAUCAUAAUAGAAUACUGAACUCAUCGAGCCAGCGCCACUGGAAAGAGGCUGAACAGGAAAGUAGACACAAGAUGGGCAGAAAACACCACAAGGCACCAAUUGCAUGUGAAGAAAGCACAGCAGCAAAACUUCCCAGGAAAAUUUUCCAUAACAAAACGGAACCCGACUCAUUGAUGCAGCACAGUAUAUUUCAUCCAACAAAAUCCAUUGAUCAGUUAGAAAAACAAAAAACAUAAGUUGCUGCUAAAUUUGAACCAUGUCAACGAUCAGAGCAUCUUCACCAGUACAACCAAAGAAGAAUAAAAAAAAUACCCUGGAAAUAAAAGAGGAUUUCCUACCAGAAGGCUAGACAGGUUUAAUCAGGAUCCACUUGUAAAGCAAAGACAUUAUUAUUUGUUCCUGAAGUUUCUUUAUGUCACAUUUUAACUCGGUUAAGAAUCAGCAAUUUAAAUGGAAUUCAUCAGAAAAUAAUCACCAAACCGAAUAUAGCCUUGACCUUCAUUAAUGACCAGAAUAUCUUUCUUGAAGCACCCAAUAAAGCAACAAGAGCGGAGAGAUUCGCUCAUAAACAAAGAUAAGCACAAAAGCAGAUGGAAAGUUGUUAACGAAAAGCUAGUUAAGACUUGAGUAUGAGGCUUCCUUCUAUCAAUGGUUUCCCGGGCGAAACCGGCUUAAAAACUCCUGUACUCGUGAACCAGCAAUAUGCGUGCUUCUCCAAAAUAUGAUUUUCAAUCUUUUAACUGCCCAGAAUUCCCAGACAAUACAGGCCAAACAGACAGCCAAUCUGCUGAGCCAAAUGGUGUCUAAAAAAGUAAAUUGUCAAGUACACUGCAAAAUCACUUCACUGAGGAAUUUAUUUCCAGGUUAAUUGAAAAUGUUAAAGGAAACCAAAAAAUUUGUCUUGGAGUACCAAGGCUGCAACAACUUGAAUAAUUCUGCAAUGGAAUUUCUGUCAUGGCUAUACACCUAGCUCCCAGUUAUCUUGAAACAGGGCGAAUAGUAUAGUCAUGAUUCUGUAUGCCCCAUACAAGUAUAUAAUUUUUGAAUCUUUGAAUACUUCUGCAACUGCUUUUUUGCAUGGUUAUACAACUAGCUCCCAGUUAUCUUAAAACAGAACAAACAGUAUAGUCAAGUAUCUGUAUGUCUGCAGCAGUUAAUAACAGAGCCAUUCUUCUUCUUCCCCCUCUCCUCCUCCUGCCCCCCUCCCAAAAAAAAAAAAAAAUUAUAUAUAUAUAUAUAUAUAUAUAUAAAAUUUAGUGGUAAGUGGUCUAGAAGUAAACUGCAGCGCCAAUUCUCAGCAGGCGUACGGAUGCCUAGUGUAUCCCCCUUGUAGUGAACAGAAAGCUGCUAUGAAUUGAAGUUGUCUGCACGAUGACCUUUAUAUCUAGGCUUUUUCCAUAAUUGAAAGAUGCCACAGAGUUGAAUUUAAAUCUUGAUAGGAACGAUAAAACAGAAAAUUUCUCAGCAACAUGCAGUUAAUACAAAUGUUGAGGCACAACCAGAGUUGAUGCACAUAGAUUUACAAGACCCCGCUGGUAGUAAAGAGAAGAACUUCAGAGAAGGCCAUUUGGGUGAUUUGUCAUUUCAUUUCCCGGUAUAACCCACCAAGAGGCAACGAUAAGAGACAAAAAUAUUACCAUACACAAAAGAAUUUGAAGAAAUUUAAAAAUCAACAAAAGUACACAUUGAAAGGAAUGUCAGAAGAACAUCAGCAUGUAAAUGAUGAUAUUGGUGAGGACACAGGCAACAGUUACUUCAUUACCUUAGCAAUACCAGAUUUUCCAAAAUUUACAGCAGCGAUAAUCCUUAAAAGAACACAAGCGCUGAUUGUCAAAGGGCGCAUCAAUUUCCAAAUAGCAGUCACCACAAAGCUCAAAAAGACCAACACCAGCAAGUAUACUGUAUGUAACUAUCUUCAUAUAUUCUCUAACAUACUUCAUAGGAGCAACUAUAGUCAUCCCACCCAUUUACUGUUCUUUAAGAAGUCACAACAGUGCAGCAUCAGUAGUUUCAAAUAACUCACCACCCAUCCAGCUUACAAAUAAGAAAAGUAGCUCAUGAAAUAUGUGAUUUCUACGUAAAUAAGCAUACAAUGAUAUAUCUGCGAUUUCUAUGCAAAUAAGCAUACAAUGAUAUAUCUGAAGCCUCAUUAAAAGCAUAUACUUAUGAUUCUGAUGAUAGCGAAAUUGCAACAUUAUUCACAUUGCCAAAAUUACAUCAUCCCCAUCAAAAUGCCAGACAACUAAAUACAUAUUACACAACCAUGAAACACCAUAACCAUCCAUCUAGUGUCAAAAAUUUUAGCAUUAAGCAACUACCUAUGAGUAUGAAUUGCAUCCAAAGAGUAAUGUCAGAAAACACCAGUGAGACGCCCAUAAGCCCAGGAAGUAGCUGCUCCAUGACACAUUUAGAGGUUCAGUUAUCGCAAGUUUGCAGCCUCAACCCAAUCAGUGCUGUGACCAUUGUAUAUUCUUCAAAUCUAUCCCAGCCUUCACCAUCUCAUAAAGAGGGCUCAUUUCCCUUAACUUCUCAACCUGCAUUACAGUUAGCUCCACAGCCCUGUCAAUCUCUUCCUCCGUAGUGAACCUCCCAAUCCCAUACCUAAUAGACGUAUGUGCCAUGUCCUCGUCCACACCCAAUGCCCUCAAUACAUAGGAGGGCUCCAAGCUCGCACUAGUGCAAGCGCUACCACUCGACACGGCGACCUCCUUCAACCCCAUCAACAAGCUUUCCCCCUCAACAUAAGCAAACGACAAGUUCAAAUUGCCUGCAUACCUCCUCUCCACGCUACCAUUCACUACCACCCCAUCAAUCUUAUCCCUAAUUCCAUUCAACAACCUCUCUUGCAAAGCCUUAAUCCUCUUGUCAUCAUACUCCAUUUCCUUCUUAGCGAUGUCACAAGCAGCCCCAAAGCCCACAACCAAGGGAGUUGGCACAGUUCCACUCCUUAUCCCUCUCUCUUGCCCGCCCCCAUUCAUUUGAGGCUCCACGCGGAUCCUCGGUCUGCGCCUCAUGUACAAAGCCCCAAUUCCCUUAGGCCCAUAAAUCUUAUGCCCGCUCAAAGACAUCAAACUGACAUUCAUCUUAUCGACGUCUAUGGGAAUUUUCCCCAAAGCCUGGGCAGCAUCGGUAUGAAACGGAACAUUAAAUUCCUUACAGAUUUUCCCAAUUUCCUCGACAGGUUGAAUCACUCCAAUCUCAUUAUUAACCAUCAUAACCGAAACUAACCCCGUGUCGGGCCGUAUCGCGGCCCGAAGCUUAUCCAGAUCAACGAGCCCGUCAGGUUCAACAGGAAGAUAAGUUACCUCAAAACCCUCUUGCUGGAGGUGACGGCAGGAGUCCAAGACGCACUUGUGCUCCGUCUGGGUAGUGAUGACGUGGCGCUUCUUAUCCUUAUAAAAAUGCAAAACUCCCUUGACGGAGAUGUUAUUGGACUCGGUGGCGCCGGAGGUGAAAAUGAUCUCCUUAGGGGAGGCGCUAAUUAGGUCUGCCACGUGGGUACGGGCAGACUCGACGGCCUGGUCGGAUUCCCAGCCGUAGAGGUGGGUCCGGGAAUGAGGGUUGCCGAAGCGGGAGAGAUAGUAAGGGAGCAUGGCGUCGAGGACUCGAGGGUCCACCGGCGAGGUAGCUUGCAUGUCGAGGUAGAGGGGUCUUCCGGAGAUUUUUACGCCUUUCACCGUAAUUCCUGAUGUGUCUUCUUGAUAGGGUUCAGCAACGGCGGCAGCAGCGGUGGAGAAGGGGCGGAGGAUUGUGGGUUUUAAGAUCGUGCGGCGGAGGGCGGUGGUUAAAAGCUUCGACGGCAUCGUUUCGAUGUAGGCUUGUGGAACGCUCACCUCAGACAGCUGUGUAAUGAGUCUGACUGCGAGGUCCUGCGCCAAAUUUGUGGGUGGGAGCUUCGACCUUUUAUUUUGAAGGUGUUGAAAUUAAAUCAGAAAAAAAAUAAAAAAAAAGGGUUUAUCUUUAUCAAGGAAGGGAGGGAGGAGAUAGAAUGGCGGCGUUGUGAAAGAAGCCUAUGUGGUACUACUGGAUCACCGCCUCACCGACGAUGCGAUGCGAUGCCUUUACAUUCUCACUAUAGUAGGCAUUAUAUUGAGCAUUGACUCAAGGAAAUAACAAUAAAAUCGUUCGUAAUGGAGUACGGCACAAGCGUCGUCGUAUUGGGCUACAACGACAGCGUUAAAGCAAAUACCCACCAGAGAAUUAAUAAUAAUAAUAUUAAUUGUAAGGCUGUCAAAAGACAACAGAUACUUUACAGUUUACUUUACGCCUCCUGGGUUUCGUCCGCAGAUCCAAUCUAAAAUCGGGGGAUUGAAUUUGAGGGAGAAGCCAAAGAAAACCAAAGAAUAAAAACAACAACAAACCUCUUUAGAAAGUGUUGUUGAACCUUUCUUAAUGCCUACCUGACACCCACCACCAUUGUUAACAACGAACCACUGGUAAACCUUUCCUUCAUAUUGAUUGGCAAUACAUACGAGUGGUAGAUCCUUUUGCAUUAUUCUCCUUUCCCUUUAAACCUAAUCAUUCAUUCAUUCUUUUCAGUGGCCUUAGUAGUAGUAGUUAUUUAAAAGGAGACAACUUUCGCACCAACAACAAGCCUUUUGCUUCUUCUUUCUUUUAGUAUAGGACCAGGUAUGGCUUGCCUUUUCCUUAGAGAUCUCGUCUUUUUUUUUUUUUUUUUUCAAUUCAUUUUUGGCGUUGGAAAGUUUGCACGAUCAUGGGGGGUCUUGACUCUAUAUUUAUCUAGCGUUAAAUGUACGUGUUUGCUAUUUAGUUGAAUGCAGAUCGAUAUCAAUAUAGUAUCCUAUCCGGGAUGUGAUCAUAGCUAUACGCAUUGCUUCGAAUCAAUUGUUUCUUGUAUACAUCGCUCCGGCCUUGGUUCAAACUGGUAUAACAGUUAAAAUGAUAUGAUAGUUAUUUCUUGGUCGAAGUCUUUCCAGCUGAGCUGCUAUCUAUGUGUUUCCAAAUAGAUAGUCUGGACUCUGGAGACGCCGGAUUAUUUUCUUAUGAAGGAAAUGGAUUCACGCUCCUGUUUUGUUCUUUGUAGCUUAUUUUUCAAUAAUUGGGUCGGUCGGAUAUGGGGUGUGAUUUGUCUGUUCUUUGGUGGCUGCGUGCUUUGAUAACCAGCAUGAUAGUUCAGACCCAAUUUGUGUGAGUUGAAGUUACCAUCUGCGUUGCGGGCUCUGAUCUGCGGUGUUCCUAAGAGAAACAAUUAUGCUAGUUGAGUUUCUAUGAGGUACCUCUGUUCGUUAAGUUUUUAACUUGCCUCAACGAUUGAUGAUUACAGCCUGAAUGUGCGUAAUUGCAUUCUGGUGCUACUUAGAUCCGCAUAUACCCAAGUUGGAUCCUCUGUUAAUUGUCACUCUCUUCACUAUAUCUGGAGUUGUUAGUGAUUAUAGAUAUCAGACUUUCUUAAGAAAAAAAUAAUAAUAAUAAAAGACAUCGGACUGCAGCGGGAGAAUGUGGUUGCCGUGAUCUGUUGGCCUCUCGCACUUGCCAUACGAAACUCCAUUUCUUUUUGAGCAUCAGAGUGAUUGUCAUAGCCAUUUGCGACAUGUUACUUGGAUGGUGUUUAAUUCACUUAAUUUCAGAGGUUUUUGAGCAUCUAAUCCAAGCCUGAUUUCUUAUGUUCUGAAUGUUUACCAUAAUUCUCCUUAAAAUUAACAGUAAUUCUUUCUUUUGUAGAAGUUAAAAGAGUUGGGACAGCUUGUAGCUUCUGGAAGCUGCUUCAACUGAAGAUAUAGUACAACAAUAAAAUCACAAUGUUCAGGCUGUCACCUCGGAGGAAUCAGAGAAAUAAAGGUUUUAAGGUGAAGCAUGCCCUGCAGAUAUGUGUGCUAGUUGGUGUUUGCAUCUGGCUGCUUUAUCAGGUCCAGCACUCCCGUAGCAAAAAGGCAUCAUAUGGAGAAAGCUCAAACAUUUUGGAGAAGGUACAAAAAUUUGGGAGAAAAGACAUCCAACCAAAAAAUAUUGAAAUGAUAACAGAGGAUGAGAAUCAAAAGGAGGAACGAGAAGAAGCCAGUAAACUACUUGAAGAUGAACUCAAGCCCGGGGAAAAUGAUCAUGAUCGAGACAAACUGGGAGAGGAAGGAGAAAAGGAGACAGAAAGUACAGAGCAAGAAGUGAAAGAUGAAGAGAAUGGAGAGAACAAAGAUGCAGAGGGUGAAGGGGGAAAUGAGAUGCAAAAUCAAGAGAAAGAGAAUGAUGGAAAUAAAAAUAACGGUGAGGAGGAGGAAACUAGAGAAGACGACCGGGGAAAGCAUGAUGAAGAGCAAAGUGGUGAGGAGACUGGAGAAAAUAAAGAAAAUGGUGGCGCAGAGAAGGAGAAUGAAACGAAGGAGGAGAACAAUGAGAAUGCUAAUGAAGACACACAAGAAAAUGGAGCUGAGCAGAAAGGUAAUGAGGAAAAGGAUGCAAAAGAAGAGAAUGGGGAAAAUGAAGAGACCAGGGAAAAUAAGAAUGACCUGGAUGGAGGUGAAGAGCAGGAAGUGAAGGAGCAGGUUAACGAUGAGAGCAAGGCAACAGAAAAGGAAGAGAAGAAACAAAUAGGCAAUGAAGAUCAAGGUAGAGAGAAACAGGAAGACCAUGAAGUGAAGGAACAAAAAGAAGGUAAAUCUGAGGAAUCACCAGAUGAGAAAGUUCAUCAAGCAAAUGAGCAGACAAACGAAGCUGCUGCACGGGAAAACACCAAUGGUUGGAAUGCCCAGAGUGAAGACGUUCAGGAUUCUCAAAGUAUGAAAGACACUGAGAAAGUAAAUAAGGAAAACGUAAAUGGGGAAGAACAGUCGACUGAGAAGGUCCAGGACAAGUCUGAAGGCAACAGUGAAAAUGUGACAGGGGCAAAUAAGGUACACGAUAAUGAAUCAGGUUCAAGUGCAAAAGAAGGUGAGUCAAAUGAACAGAACAGUCCAUCAACUGUUGCGACUGAUGAAGGCAAUGACAGUGAAAACACACAGCAGGGAUCAGCUCACGAUUCCAAUUCUGCAGAAGGAAGGAGGGAAGCUAAUCAAGAACAAGGCAACGGCAAUGAGACAACACAGCAGGAAUCAGGGGAAUCUUCCAAUCCUACAGAAGGAACACAUGAAGCUAAUGAAAAGCAAGGCAAUGCCAAUGAAUCCACGCAGCAAGGAUCAUGGGAUAACUCCAAUCCCACAGAAGGAACAAAGGAAGCUAAUCAACAGCAGAGCAUUAGCGACAAUUCUAAGGCUGAUGCUGAUCAAAACCAGAGAAAUGCUGUUGGUGAUGUCCUUCCUGGGGGAGAUGGUGCGCAGUCUACUCAAGAGGAGCAAACCGAGAACAAGGAUGCUGCAACAAACAAUGACAAAUCCGAUACAAGUUCAAAUAUGAAGGAGGGCUCAGCAUAUGGAGAAGGUUCAAAUGAUGUGGGUAAUAGACAAAAUGCUGGUAGCGAUACUGUUGGGGGUAAAGAGAAAAGUUCAGAAAAUUCAUCAGCCAAUCAGGUUAAUGAAAAGGUCGAGAUCCAGAAGUCUGAUGCUCAUUCUGAAACAGGACCGGAAGAAAAGAUUAACCCUUCAAAUGACAAUGACAAUACUGAUUCCAGUGAAAAUAGAUCAGUAGAUUCUUCUGGUUCCUCGAGUGCUACUAAAGAGGAGGCAUCUUCAAACUCAAAUGAGAAUGCUGACGCUGAGCAGAAUAGCAUGGUUGACUCAUCAAGUUCUACAAUUCCCCAAGAAGAGAAAGAGGCUCGCACUGACCUUGAAACUUUGCCUGAGAUGGGAAAUGAGGGAACUAGUCAAGAAGAUGCAGUCGCUUAGUGAUGCUACAUAUUAGCCUUUUGUGAACUUUGAAGCUUUUGUUGCAUUCUUUGCUUCCUUUCAUGGUUAUUGCCAGAACAAUUGUGGAAGUAUGUACACUUCGUUUGAUGACGUUGAUGCUGGUCAUUUGUUGUGGACCAGAACCAGGAAAUGCAAGUAAUGAAAUGAACUAAAAUGCAAUGAAUCAAUAGACUGCAAAAGUCUGAGCAACUCAAACGAACAACUCCAUAUUCAUUGAUAAGCUUCAGUAAAGGAUUACAGAAGCAGAAUGGCGGGAAAGAACAUAAGGGGAAAGAGAUUGAAGGAAACCGUGGGGAGGGGGAAAACGCAGAGAGGAUAUUCCUUCUCUGAUUACAAUAUCAAAUUUGCAAAAGGUUCCCUAACAAUUACAUGAUCCUCACGGUUUAUACAACUGCCAUUCUAACUGAUUUUCAAGUGAACAAAUGAGCUUCCAACACGUGUCCAACAGAAUCUUCUAGCUGAACUGGUCCCCAACUGGCUGAAUCAACGUGAACCCAGUAAAGGCGUGCUCUUCUACUCACGCCUUCUUGUCUCUCAGCUACUUCACGCCUUCCCAAUGUUUCCUUCCUACUCCUGCAUCCGCUGCCGCUGACAUCAUUACAUCAUUCGGCCAAAAAAUUUGUAGCCAACGUCAUUGUUAUUAACAGCCUUGAUCGUGUAAUACUACGGAACUGCGUUGCUCAUGUUAUUAGUACUAAUGCAUUGUCCUCAUUAGCCUACCCAAGCUUUCGUUGUAGGUUCUUUGCUUGCUAAUUUGUACUUCGCACUCGUCGACAAAAAUUGAUCCAAGCUUACAUUUGCUCAUCUCCUGGCCGUGCUCUACAAGAAUCGCUUAUGGGUUUUGUGCAGUCGCGUACAUUUCCAGGUUACUAUCCUGACUAUUCAAGUUCUUCCUUUUCUUUUCAUCUUGGACCGCUAACUGCUUCGAUUUGAAGCGUCCAUACAUUUAGACUAUAUUUCUUUCGGAAACCUUUUUUUUUUUUUCGCAACGAUAACAUUUAUAUAAUCUACUCUAAUCUAAUCUAAAAAGAAGGAGAGUCUAAUCGACGAAAAAACCCAUCAAGGGACACCACUUGAAAGUGACAACCAUAGUUAAGUGACAAGCAUAUUUGUUCGGGAACUUAGGGAGGAGAAAGCAGGCAAACACAGCUUUUUUUUUUCUUUUUCCGUUGGGCAAAUAGCUUAAUAAGUUGUACGUUUUCAACACUAACAGUCCCUACCAUUGCUCAAGUUCUGAAAGCCACUUUAAUCAACCACGGCUAAACAAGGCAUCUAGACUCGUUUGAGUAAGAACAUAUAAUCCGUCCCUCUCCCUUCCCCCUCUCCCAACGAAACCCCGCUUUCUUUUGCCAGUCUUGUGGCGGCAGGGGGGCACAAAAUUCUGCGCCCAGUUAUAUGCAAGGCCAGCAACUCCCCCCUACCCACCCACCCACCCAACCAAAAGAGGAAAAAAAGAAAGGGCAUGUGCCAGAUGAAUUGCAUCCAAAACCAAAACCCAACAUGUAUCCCAGUGAAGCAUGAUGGCAACAAUAUCGUCAAAUUUAUUUGAAUAGAGCAGAUUGCAAGAAACAAAAUAAAAAAAAAUGAAACACGAAAUUUGAAAGCAUGCCAAAAGAAAACAUCUGCUCGUUUCAAAACGUAACUAAAAUAACACAGCCCGUUAUAAUGUCCAAGAUAAUUUUGACAAUACAGCCUCCAAUGAUGCCAAAGCAAAGAUGAACAACCAUUAUUCGACUCCUUCAGAUUACGAUCAUCAGACAUCAGUGGUGCUUCUCCUCAAAAAGACCAUCUGGACCUACAAUCAUGCAUAACGUGUCAAAUUUAGUUAAAGUGUAUCUCAGCAAUUAGUAGUUAAAAUGUGUUCACCCAUCUUUCUACUAAACAACUAGCUUAAGAAAUCUAAUCUGAUCUAUGCUGUACAUGACAGUGUAUAAAAUAACUUCCUAGGCUUGCUAAAUCCUCUGUUGUGCUUCUCCCCAUUUCAAUAAAUGGAGGAAAGUUUCAGUGGUUAAACUUAAAGAAUAAAACAGGGAUAGUUACAAUAACAGGGUUGAGAAAAAGCACAAGCAUAAACUGGAUAAUACGGCCCAAAUAACUAAGCUACAAUAUAUGCAUUACAUAAAUCUCCCCAAGCAUCUAAAACCUCACUAGACCAAGCAUAUGUUCUCCUGAUCAUGCUUGACCAAAAAGCACUAAGACAGCUACAGAAGAUGGAAGUUGAACCUCAAAAAAUAAAACUGAGAACUGCUAUAGCGGUCCCCAGCUCUCUACAAUAUCUUUUGUGAAACCUUGUUAUUUACGUGAAGCAAUUAAGCCUUAAAUUCAUCCUACAACACAAUAACACUCAUGCAUUUUAGAGAAAAAAAAAAUUGCAAAGGCUAUUCCAGUACUGCAGCACAGUAAACUGUAAGCAUGUAUAAAAAUAACUGAGGAAGCACAUGUAGUGAUAUAUGAGAAGCAUUACUAGGAUUUAAUAUUGCACCAAUCCGAUUUCGAAUAGAAAAUACAAUUAAACUUCUAAUCUGAUCCACCUGGAAAAGCUUGUGCCAAUAAUAAAUAUACAUUUCAGUUGAAGAUUGAGUCCUCAUUGUGUUAUAGGGAUGAAAUGAUGUGCUUACAACUUUUAAGGAACAGCACUACUCAAUAUUCAGGGAAAUAUUUUCUUGAAAACUUCAGAAAUCAUUACAACAACUCCCCAAACCAAAUCACUAUUUGUAUCAAUGAACAAAUAAAUUCGGUUAGCUUUUGUUGGAUGAAAAAAUGAUCGAGGGGCGCCCCAAUUUAUACUAGUGACGCUGAGGCAUGGAAUGCAAGAGCCAAGUUGUUUGGUUUUCUUGAAUGAGGAGGAGGCUAUGGCAUCCAUUCAAACUUCAAACCAACGUGAGAAUUAGAAUUUUGCUAGAUGAAGGAAUUCAUGCGUAUGAACUGGCGAGGCUGGUUCUUGGCCUGGGAAAAUUAAGGUCAAGAGAUGAGAAAUUAAGAGAUUGCGAGUCCAAGUUGUGUAGCAUUAUUAUUCAUGGGUUUUACCAGAUGCCUGCGUUAUGGAAAAUCCUUAACCUCGUGACCGUGCAGCCUCUCUGAAGGCUGAAUAUUUGAAUUCAGCACUUGGACUCUUAUCGUCGCCACACCAAUUGGAAUUUUGUUUGUUAUAAUUGACAUCGUAAAUUCAUAUUUACAAACUGCUAAAAGUUUUUUCACUAUCUAAAAUUGUGUUUACUGAGAUUUCUUCGGCUGGUCAACUACGUACAAGUGUAGCUAUUCAACUUGCCCACAUCAACAUCAAGCUCCUCAUACCUACACCGGACGGCAUCCACGACUUGUUAAUUAUAUUCCUUAGGAUCUAGCUGCUAUUGCCUAUUAGUCAAUAGUUCGGUAACUUCGUUAGGGAACAUCGUUCACAAGUCAAAGAAACAUUUUAAUGUAUCUCGAAAUUUAGAGUUCUUCUGACACUCUAUGGACUUAUUCACAAGAAUCUAUUAGAGUUCUUCUGCUCUUAACUUUUCUUUUCGGAUCUCUCAACUUUUGGGAGGCAUUAUGAGUGUUAACCGCUAAUUAAACCAUCCCAUGCAUGAUUGGCAAACUCAUCCUUGACGCCCAAGUUCUGCCAAACUCAUGCAUGACUUGUAUUUUUUAGUCGAGCGAUUCAGCCAAGGGGAGGGCUAAAUGUACAUUUUAAAUUGCAAUAAGGAUGACUCGUCUUAUUAGCAUCGAAACUUGCGCAAUGCGUAAACAUAGAAUGAAAAAACAUAAUAGCUUUAACAUCUUCUUUUUAACUUGAUUAUGAGACCUGAAGAAAGAAGGUAAAUUAAAGAGCUAGAAUGUGUGUAGUUUCGAUAUAAUUAUAAACUUUAUCUACUACUUUCUCUCACUCUCUAUGGGUUGGGUACUGCUGGCUGGGACGUGCCCAUUUCAAGUACAAACGUCCAACAACCAACUAUUCUUAAAGUAGCUGACUGCUGCGUUCUAAAGACUCUAUUCGAUAUAGGUCAAAAGAUUGAAUUUCUUGACCAGCAUUCUAAAAAUUCAGAACUUGCUAGAAUGUUUCGCUGGUGGGUGCGUAGGCAUUCAUCAGGACUAAUAAUGAUUUAAUCCCCUUGAAUUCUCUCCCGUUGGGUCAUUCCCCUUCUCAUAGUAUGAAAUAGAAAUAGGCUCCUUGUUACAGUAUAAAAUAUGAAUAGGUCUAUUGUAUCUAGGAAAAAAAAAAAAAAAGGGGUAUGAACGUCCAGCAGAGGGACUCAUGCAAGUAAUUUCAUCAGUCCAACAUAUAUAUUUCUCUCGUGGAUGUAGCCAUCGGAUCGUAAUCUCAGUCAUGUAUCGUUCCAGAAAAUCUCAACAAAGCAAUAGCGACUCUUCAGAUUUUGAAUUUAGAAAUGUACUCAGUCCGUCGUCCGCCUUGGGAAUUAUCAAGCUCAUCUGGACUUUUCUUGUUUAGCAUGUACGGUGAAUCUAGCCAAAAAUGUGACCUUUCUUGUCCUAACUCCUAACAUUUCAGGUUUCUUCAUCCUCAGACACGCGGUGGCUUCCAAUGCGAAUAGCGACCCUACCAUACUAAGAUUCUAUUCAUUUUCUAUGGGAAUUGAAAUUUCACCUCCCGCAAAAAAAUUCAAGAGUGAUAUCAAAAUAUUCUUUUGAUCUAAUAAAGUCUAUAUACCUGUUAAUCCCUUAACACAAAUCUCUUUAGGUUUCUACUCUCCUCUAAAUUAAGAUAGAAUAGAUUAUACAAUUAUUGUUGUCGAAAAAAAAAAGAGAUAAAAUACUAGAAUUCGAAUUCUAAGAACAUAAAAAAAAAUUGUUUUUGGGGGAAAGAACAUAAAGAUUAACCAUAAAUUUUGCUUACAUCUUUUAACUAAAAUUAUGUCCUUGUACAUUUCUUUAUGAAUAUCAAAAGAAAUAAUAUUGAUAAUAAUGAAAAUUCAAAGGAUGUUCCUACAUUGCCUCGGAGUGUCUGUCAUACGUUAAGAAACUUGAGAAAUCUCGGAAAAUAUACAAAUUCAUAAACCAAAAAAAAAAUGAAAAAAUAUCGAAAGAUAAGAAAUGAUUAGAUGUCCAACUUUUGCGAGCAAGUGCUAGCAUAAAAAUUGUGUAUAUAUGGUGGAAAUUUGUGGAUUCCUCCCGACAUCAGCUUCGUCACAUUCAGCCUAAUUAUCCAGAUUCUUCCUCCAUCGCUUGAUGGCAUCGCCAGGAAUUGAGUUGAUGAUAACUGAAAUCAAUAAUAUAUACAAAAAUUUUAGCCGCUAAACACUCUCUGCAUGUACAACGAAUUCACAUGCAUGCAUUGAAGUGUUAUUAUUAUCUAAUCUCAUAAUUGAAAAUUUUAUUUACAAUGACUACAAGAAUCCCACUUUCCAAGAACAAUUCUCAUUGAGUUAAAAAAAAAAAAGAAAAAAAAUUAAGGGAAAACAAUAGAAAAGCCGAUCGAUCGAUUGGGAGGUCAAUGAAUCCAGACACCCCCAUGGAACUGUGGCAGGCAAUCACGCCUUGAUAGAGUGCAUGUUCAUUUGACUCUCCUUAGUAGUAGUAGCAUUAGAAUUAUUUUUCUGAUCGUGUCGAAACUCGAACCAACAAUCUCCAUCAGGUGGUGGAGGAUCAGGAUCGCCCAAAUAAUCCUCCGGAAAACCAAGCGACUCCAUCACAUCUUCCCCGCUCCACCCCCACGCAACAACCUCUUAGACAAUACCUUCACGUGCCAGACGAUCCCUUCCUUAUCAAUCAACGCAGCGUUCUUAUCAAAGCCAUUUCGUCCGGUGCAGUGAUCAUCAUCGGUCUCAUCACAGCCGUCCAUCAUCAUCAUCUCCCUUACAUCCUCUUCUUUCCACCCUCCGUUCCUCAAUCUCCAAAACACCUCCUCCAAGCACCCCCCUAACUCCCCACUCCACCACCUGCGCGUGCCACCACGCGCCGCCAGCCUUUCCCCCUCUCCACCAACUCCGACCAUACCUCGAUCCUCCUCGGCUCAGUCGCGGCCCAGGCCGGCGUGCUGAAUAAUUUGGACAAGGUGGGCCUUCUCAAGAUGUCCUCGUUCGUCGUGAAUUCCGCCUGCUGGAAGAAUCCGGCUAUAUCGAAACUCCACAGCUGAACAUUCCCUCCAUGCACGUAAAACACGGGAUUCCCCGCCAUACACGGCGUCGAAGGAACGUAGAAAUGCCGGUACACCGGAACAAGAAACGGCGCAUUUCUCAUGAAUCCUUUACCUAAAUUCACAGCUUGAUCAUCAUCUCCUGGCCUUUCACCCCAAGAAUCGAGCCACAAAUGGUUUCUUGAUAUUUCCUUGCAUACACCUGAGACGGGUAGACUGGUGAGGGCCUGAAGUUGUUGAACGGAGGAGGAUGAUCGCCAGUUGGGGAAGCGGGGCCCACAGGGAGGCCUUCUUGGAGAAUAGAACGUAAAUCGGGGGGAAAUGUGAAAUUGAAGGUGGAUUCAAUGGAGGAUAAUUCGGCGUCGGUGAGGCCUUCUUCAAUGGGAAUAUCGGAGGAUUUUAGGUAAUGAAUGAGGUUCUUGGUGUAGGCUGCAAAUGAAAAACAAACCCGCAUGGUUUUGGAUCGGUGACCGCCAUGGUUAAUGGGCUCAGCGGUGGUUCGACGAGUAGUGCUGCUGCCAUUGAAUACGAGUACUUGGGCUAAUAUUGAUUGACAACAACAACAACAACAGUUGCAGAUAACACGUGUUAUGGAGUAGAUAAUGCAUAUGGAAGCAAGCCAGUAAUGGUAAUUCAGAUUUGAGUUUCGUGUUUAUCCACACUGGCAGGCCGGGAUAGAGUAGUUAGAGCAUAUAAGGGAGGAAAAAGUGAGUGAGUUUUUACGGGAACUUUUGAUGCUCUAUUCUCACAACUCCUCUCAUCUGAUGUCGGGACUCUUGAGACUAUUUCAAAGUAACAAUGAACUGAAGCGAUUUGUUUUGGAAUUUUGAGGGCACAAAAAUGCAAAAUGGGGUCUCUGACUAAUCAUGGAAUUGAUACGUGAAGUCUUUGCUAACUUGGCAUGGUUGUAAUGCACAGUCCAAAUGUCACUUCUUCCUGAUGAUCCAAUAUUUUGUAGGAGAUUUGGAGUCUGGCUGAAGUGCUGAACCAUGCGUUGUCAAUCAAGUUGGGGUUCUCAAUUGUUCUUUCACAUAUUUCCUUGCUUAUGGUCAGAGAUGCGGCUUUACUAAUCAGUACGAGGGCGGCCGGCAGCCUAAUUCAGAUUUAUAAGAAGAAAUUUUGUGCUAGUAGUUUAUAUCGGGAAAUCAAAAGGUUCAGAAAAUUCUAGCCGUCCAACCAAUAGUAGGCUUAGUCGCUACAGAGAAAUAUCAGGAAUUGUUAAUUGGUAUCAGGUAAGCAACUAAUUUAUAGAAAAUGUAGUUGGCUUAUGAGAAAUUUUCAGUUGCAUAAAAAAAUCAACCUUAACAACAAGACAUUUGUUAUUUGUUUCACCAGCUGUUAUAAUACAAAUGUUCAAAUUUUAGGCACCGACCGCCCUUCUCGAUCACCUUCCCCUUCGUCCGCCCUCUCCUUGCUGUGAGGGAUCAAGACCAUAUUAGUGGUGGCAUACUGCUUUAUAACGUAAUCUUUUAUAUUUGGAGGAAAUAGAGAUAAAAAAAAAUGUUAUCAAGGAGAAUUGAUGCAAGUGCUUCUAUAUAUUUAUGCAGUCGUCGAUUAACUUAGAAGUAGCACCUAUUCUUGCGCAUUUCGUCAUUUAGCUUCACUUUGAAUAAGAAAAAUGAAAAGGCAGUCGAUAUUAAUUUGUUACAAUUCAAAUCUGAAUGCCAUGAGCAUUCCUACACCAUCCAUCUCCUCAAUUUUUUACUACUAUAUUUAACUUGACUUUAGAAACAUUUUAUGGUAAAUUACUGUGACGUUAGAACUUGAACUUUGAGAAUAGCACCAGCCAAAUAAAAGUCGUCCGAGACAUCUCAGCUUCUAUCACAUUUAUAAUUUCCUUCCAUCCAAAUGAAGAGAAUUUUCUUGUCAUCUGCUCCUUGUUGGAAUUACUAUGGAAGCAACUCAGAAUUGGAGAAAAGGAAUUCGCCUAAAAGGUUCCUAACCACCAUAAUCUUGUCGAUAGCUUGUCUAUUGCUUUGACCGUUUCUCCUCCUUCUUCUUCUUCUUCGUAUCCCCUUUUGCGCGACACGUUAUUUCUGAAAUUGGGAGUCUGUUUCUUUCUUUCUAGAUAAAUUGAGGACCGUGUUGAUAAUUACGUUUUGGCAAUCCUGAUACUUAACCUAUACAUAGAACCAUUUAUGUGCUCUUACUUUUCUAACAUUCUAUACAGAUCUCUUAAAGAGCCUGGAACACGGCUUUUUGACGAAUGACUCGAUGCUUGGGAUUUUUUUUAGGACACGGUGGAAUCUAUUUUAGACAUGCUCCUACUUUAUACUAGAGGGAAGGAAGGACCCGAAGAGAUCCGCUAGGACACGAUGGAAUCUAUUUUAGAUAUACUCCUACUUCAUACUAGAGGGAAGGAAGGACCUAAAGAUAUCCAAGAAGAACUUGGAGGGGACUAAUUACCGGCUCAAAUGGGUAUCUUCUCCGUUUGACAUGCGGCUGUGUUUACACGGAUGCUUACCUUCACAAGAUCGAGUUGCUAAUAAGGCACAAAACAUACAGGUUAAAUUUAAACUCAAUUCUAUCAGUAGUUCUUCAAAUGGAUGCAAAAUUUUCGCACAAGUAUGUCCAACAUUGUCAAAUUUCAAGGACCUUUCACUGGUCAAGCAUUAUCUUCUGCCCCCGAGCUCUUGUCAUUCUCCGGUUCUUGUUUUUUCAUCAUCAACUAAUUCAGCUUCCACAGUUUGAACAACCGAUCCAUCCUCUUUGUUCCCAAAGUUCCAGCCAACGACAGCUUUGCUUUCCUGUUCUAGAAUAUUCAUGUUGUUAUGGGAUAUUUGAGCUGUAAAAUCCAGCAAAUCUUUUCCACAUUCUUCAGGGGAGGUAGUUGAUGUCCAGAGCAAAUUUGCAUUACAGGUCAUCUCCACAAAGUUUCCAGAAGAAUUACUUUCUCCAGUCCUAUAAACAUUCUGAGAUGAAUUUGUAAAAGAAGUGGAGCCCCCGUGUCAUAAUUCUUCAACUCAGGCUUGAUGGAAGCCUUGCUAAUUAGGACUGCAGAAUGAUGAUCGGAAAUGGUGUCGCAUAAUCCGCUGCUACAUGGAAUCUCAAGACUGCCACUAGAAUUGAUGAAAGGAAUUUUAACCUUUCCAUCGUUUGUAUACUGCACAGAAGGCUCAUUUUCCACUUUUUUUAAAAUCACUUUCUCAUAGUGUAGUUUUUCAGUCUGACAAAGAGUUUCAAGUAGUCCAGACUUCCUAUUCCAAAUUCGAGGGCAUGAAGUAUCUGUUGAUGGCAACCUUCCAUCUGGGGUUACCAGUUUCUCCAGCCUUCCUCUCUUUGAAGUCUUUGCACCUGAAGAAACCCCAGUUGCAGUAGUUGUUCCCUCUUUUACAACAGGUUUUAGGCACAAUACGUCUUCCUCAAGCUUUGUUAACCGGCCCUUACAAUCUGCCAGUUCAGAUUGCAACUCACCAACAAUCUUCCGUAGGUGAACAUUCUCCAAAGGCUGUUGCCCCAAACACCAAAGAGCAAAAGGAAAAAACAAACAAUGGCAUCAAGGUAACUUACACCACAGAGUAAAGAAUGGGCCACAAAGAAAUGUAUAUCCUAGUAUCUUACUUGAGCUUCCCAUGGUUGCUGGUGUAUCAGAGAGAGUUUUGCGGUUGGUCUCAUCGUACUUCCCUGGUUUGAUGUGGUGGAAGCCGAUGAAGAACCGGGUAUUGGUGGCUGAAUUGGAGAGAAAUAAGGACAGUGUCCAGGGAAGGCACUGCUAUGAGGAGGUAGUAGAUGUUGUGGAAGGCUCAACCAAGAUGAAGGAUCCCAAGGGCCUAUUAAAUAUUAACAAGUAAUAUCUUCUGCAUUAGUGGCACAUAUAGCACUACAUCAGAAUUAAUCAGCUAUGAAUGAUCAAAUUUAACUAUGUUUAUUCUUGAACUACUGUUAGAAUGUAUAUGGCAUAUUUGCAAAUAUGGCCGUUGAAAACAGCAAACAAUUAGUCAAAACACUCCUCAGUACUUCUUUGACACCUCAACAGACUUGAUCCCAAUACCACGACCUUCCAAGCCACAUUCUCUGGGUAAAUCAAAUUUGUUCUGGAGAACUUGUCAGAAACUUCCCACAAUGUCAAGCGUGAAACAGAUUGAUUGUGACAUUAUACCUGGAAAGCCUGGAUAUGGGUAGCCAACAUGGUAACAAUAGCUAGGACUCUGCUGCUGGCUUCUUAGAGUUGCUCCAUAACCAGGUCCGCCCCUAAUGCCAGGCGUUCCUGCAGGAGGAGGGACAGGCUGAUAGAGAGCUGGCAGACUGGCACCCGGCAAAUGUUGACCAGGGAGCAGGGGAAUCCAGGAUGGCAUGUUGAGUUGUGUAAACGGGGGCAUUGGUUGUUCCUGUUGGAACUGCUGCAUAGUGCAAGUUUGUUGCUGAUUCUGCGGUUGAUGACACUGGCCUGGGAUGAGUGGUGGAGGCAACUGGUUGAGACUGCAGGAUUUUAGGAUCAAAGGGGACUUUUCACAAGCAGGUUGAGAUGAACAAGGAAAUUGGACCCCAUCUUCAGUAUGCUCCUUCGGGGAAGUUGCAUUUUCAAAGUGAAGAGCCGCCGACCGCUGUACUAUUAUUUUGAUUUUGAUGUUCAAUUAGCUGUUCAAGAAUGGAUUCAUUUAUCGGCGUAAAUAACACGAGGAAAUUAAGCAAUCAAGAGUACUAAUAAGUAGUUAUAUUCCUGUAGCAUUAAGGAUCUCAAUAAAAUUAAUUUCAAUGCCAUAAUGCAGGAGGACAGGCACAAAUCAAGUACUUUGACAGUGUCGAAAAAUGAUCUGCAAGAACUGCUGCUUGCUUGAAUAUUCUUUUAGAGGUAACCUUGAAGCACCAAAAGUAAGGGGAAUUGAUCAACUGGGAAAUUAGGGACCGGUACAAUUAUUUGCGGAGUAUUCUGGGGGAAAAAAAAUCAAAUCGGUCCUUCUAUCUCUCUCUCGUUAUCUGGGUACAACUCCCAACACAUGCAGCAAGAAACAAAACAUCAAGACGAAAAAAGAAAAAAGUGAAGAACCAAAAAAAACUUACUAAUGAUUUUUAAGUAUGUUGUGAAAAUAACGGGGAGCCCAGGAGUACUUUUUAGCAGGGAAACUUGCAUAUGAAAAAUCCACCAAAUAAUGGAGUGAGGAGAUGCAUUACCCGUUCUCCAUUGAACCACUAGCAUCUGGAGAGGUAGAGUUUUCAUGUUUUUUCUUUUUAUUCUUCUAAUUCAUGGUUUUUUGCAAAGUGAUUAUUUCUUUCCCUACAUUUUGAGAAAGGGGAGCAAAGGUAUAAGUAAAGAGGGAGUAGAGCAGUGGCCUCCGCCGGUAAAAGCCUGCCGUACAAGUGUACAACAACAAGAGAAGUGGUGCGUUGGAAUUUUAAGCCCCAAAGCCAGAAACAAGGAAAACGUGCGUGGUGCGGGAGCCGGGGAAUUUCUACUUUUGGAGCACCAUUUUCUAAUUUCUACUCCAUUGCCGCCCUGCCGCAAAUUUGUCCUCUGUCUGGUCCAUCACAGCCGUUUUUUUUUUUUUUUUUUUGGGUAAUAAAAGAUUGCAUAAAUAAAAAUUUUAAGUCCGUACAUCACAUAUUUGUUUGGGAUGGAAGGACCCCUUAAAUCACCACACAAAAUAGUUCGUAGCUGAGGAGGACAGUUAUGAUAAGAGUGAAAAAGUCGACAAAAAGAUUUCCAUCCUCAAAUCAUCACAGCCGUUGCAUUUUGCAUCAUUUUGACCUUUCUUCCUCAGCUCAACUGCACGAAGAACGAAUGAGCAUUGUAUUUGACGAUAGCCAUCUUAUUUUACCGGUUAAAGAGUCAAAGAACAAAAAAUAAUAAUAAUAUAAUAAUAAAAGACAGAGCAAGGCAAACACUUGUCGAGUUUUAAAGGUGUUGAAGGCUUGUUUGGGGAGUUAUUAGUGUCAAAAGCUCUUAUUAUUAUUCAGUACUAAUACACAAAGGAUGGUCCUCGAUCUUGGUUUUAAAAUUUCUCAUACAAAUUCUAUUAAUCUUUUUUCUUGUGCACCAAUUUUAAAAGUAUCUGUUGGUGUACAUUAUUACCUUACUCUUGGAAGCCCAUGCGCAUAAAAAAAAAAAAAAUUUUUUUUUUUGGAGCUCAGGCGUUCAACAGUAUCCUCGAAAGAAUUGAUUGUAUAAGAUCAGUAUUUUUGGAGUAGUACUUACGUAGACGAGAUAUAACCAGCAGAGCAGAGAAGAAACCAAAUAAAUAAGAUAAAGAAAUGAUAUAUAUAUAUAUAUAUAUAUGCAGAUAACGUUUCAGUAAUAGAAGGAUUUGAUUUAUUAAACGAUCACAAGAAAAAUUAACGUUAGAGAGUGAAAAUAUCAAGGCAACUAACGAGGUUGAUAAUUCCAUGUGCACUAGAUUCAUGAUUCUCGCAAGACAUAUUGGAAAAGGACGAGAGGGCACUGAUCGAUCGAUCGAGGAUGUUAAAUAGAAGCUAGCAAUUCCGAAAGAGAAGGCCUAUAAUGAUGAGAAGCGUCUGUCAAAUGAGCAAGGACGACUUGCCACCAUAUCAAAAUCAGAAAGGCUUUGAACGUACGCAGGCAGUAGGAGGCAAGUCAUCCUUGUUGGCGAUGAAACCAGAGUCUCCUCCCCAUUUUAGGCCAAUCAGAGUCUUUCUACACAAAAUGUUGAUCCAAUUAAGCCAGAAGAAGUACGUCUAUUUUCUGAACGCAAUUGAUCGAAUUGCUCAAUAUUCAAGACUGUACCUGAGGAGGCGAUUUUUGGUUGGUAACUAGACCGACCUGGAUCAGUCCUCUCUGAGAUGAAGUGAGGUGAACUCCUGUGUCCGAAGUGAACCUCCUUGUCCGAAGUGAGUGGCGGGGCUUCUCCCCUGGUAUCACUCCGACGAUCAAGUUAGUAUGAGAACGAGAAUAAUGAGAAUGAGUUAAUGAACAGUGUAUGCUUACUUGUUGGGAGUGUGAGUGAGGUAUUUAUAGAAGAGAGGUGGUCAAGACGGAAGGCUCAUGCUAGCGGGACCCACUCUCUGGCAUUACGGCUCUGUCUCCUGUCAGGAGGUCUGACUCUGACACUGUAGCCGCCUGGGAGUGAUGACGGAGGAUAUGGUGCAGGUGCCAUUAAGUGCCUCCAGUGCUUUUCAGAUAAAGUGCUGGUCCUGGAUGAUGUCAGGUGGGUUGACAUCAUCAGCGUGCAGCCGAGGUGGAUGUGCCGAGGUCACCUACACGGUGGACUAGGGAUGAAGCCGAGCUCUGGGGUUGUGCUCAAGACAGGGAUGAGCUCCGGUGAGGGACGAGACUUGUGUUCACCUCGGACACCCGCGUGUCCGAGGUGAGCAUCCUCAAUAAGCCCCCCAAGCCUCGGGAGCUUCGGGCCAGGGAGGUACCGAGGCUUCCUUCUGCCGAAGUCGUGAAGAGUCGGUGUCCCGAGCCUACUCCGGAAGGUGCGGGGACGUGACACGUGGGCAUGUCAGUUGAAGGGACCUGGAGAGUGAGUCGGCACGUAACCGUCACGUCGUGAAGUAGUGGGACGUUUCGUGCAGAGAGUGUCAGUUACAACGAGGACUCCAAGGAGUUGUGCGACCGGAUGGCUGAAGGCCUCCAAACUGGAAGGAACCUGGCCGAGGUCCUGGCCGAGUUCAACAAAUGGCUGUCCGAACUCGACGAAGUGUUCGAGGAGGUUGAAGAGGAAGAAACUGGAAGAGAGGAUGCCGAGGGAGACGAAGCCGGAGGGGGCGAAGUCGGAGGGGACGUCGUGCAAAGAGCCUGGAGAUGAAGUUCACCCCGGCGGAAAGGAGACCGAAGAGAAAGAUGCCCAGGAGGGAGCCAAGACCGGGAUUGGAGCCGAUACGGGGAUGUAGGCUCGUAGGCUUUAAAGGGGUGGCCGAGGUGAAAAGUGUUUAGUAGCACUCUGACCUCGGCCUUGUAUUUUUUGUAACACUUCUGUUGAAUGAAAGUCUAUUUCUUCUCAUCUCAGCUCUUUAAUUUCUUGCUUUGCUUUGACUUCAUCCCUUGCUUGUCCCCCUUAUUUUUUGAUAGCGUAAUAACCCUAUUGUUCUCAAGUCGUUAGCCGAGGUGGUAAAACGGGCAGAUACCACCUUGAUUUAUAAUGGGCCGAGGUGGCCCUUCGGGAGGUGCCACUGAGUAAGGUCGAGGUGGCCUUGCGGGAGGUGCCGCUGAUUAAGGCCUAAGUGGCCCUGCGGGAGGUGCCACUGAUUAAGGCGAGGUGGCCCUUCGGGAGGUGCCACUGCACUGAGGAAGGGCCUGCCACUGAGUAAGGCCGAGGUGGCCCUUCGGGAGGUGCCACUGAGGAAGGUCGAGAUGGCCCUUCGGGAGGUGCCACUGAGUAAGGUCUAAGUGGCCCCACUGAUUAAGGCCGAGGUGGCCCUUCGGGAGGUGCCACUGAGGAAGGUCGAGGUGGCCCUCGGGAGGUGCCGCUGAGGAAGGCCGAGGUGGCUCUUCGGGAGGUGCCACUGAGGAAGGCCUGCCACUGAGUAAGGCCUAAGUGGCCCUGCGGGAGGUGCGCUGAGAAGGCCGAGGUGGCCCUUCGGGAGGUGCCACUGAGGAAGGUCGAGGUGGCCCUUCGGGAGGUGCCACUGAGUAAGGCCUAAGUGGCCCUGCGGAGGUGCCACUGAUUAAGGCCGAGGUGGCCCUGCGGGAGGUGCCGCUGAGGAAGGCCGAGGUGGCCCUGCGGCUCAGCUCGGCUGACUGAAUUUUUCCUCAGAACCAAGUCUCCAGGCUGGAAUUGAGCGGUGUCAGCUCAGCGUCCGAGAGUGGACGAUCUUCCUUUCACUAUUCGAUCGAAAACACUCCGGCGGUCCCGGAGUUGGGUUGAAGUGCCACUUGGGCCGAGUUCACCUCGGCCGGUGUCUCCUCCGUGGAUCUGGCCCCGUACGAGAUGCUUGGGCUUCUCGCUUCAUGCGGUUCACAUCCUCACUUCGGAUUCCCUGGUCCACUCUAUCCCAGAGUUCCCGAAGUGUACGGGGGUACUCCCGAUGGAUUUCAGUGUUGAAGAUUCCGCACCAAUCCGUUGGUAAAGGCCGCGAGAGUUACCUGCUCAUUCUGAUCAGGUAUUUGCACAUUCUCCUCGUUGAACCUUUGAGCAUACGAGCGAAGAGACUCGCCCUGACCCUGUUGAAGGUUCAAGAGAUAAGCUGAAGUUUUCGUGAUUGAUCGAGACGACACGAAGCGGUGGAUGAACCGAUCUAUCAGCUCAUCCAGGGAGGAAAUGCUCCCCGGUUCCAAACUCCAGAACCACUUCCGGGCAGUCCCAUGUAGGAAAAUGGGGAAAGCUCGGCAGAUCACAGCGUCGGGACGCAGCAGUAGAGCCGGAAUGCAGAGAUGAAGGCGCGGAGAUGAUCCUCGGGGUCACUUCGGCCGUCAUAGGUGGGCAAGUUUGGAAGCUUGAAGUUCGGGGGUACCAUCUCCCCAUUGAUGUCAUCAGUAAAGGGCGGAGCCCUCAUGUAGUCAGAAGCUAGGCCCCGGGCGCCGAGGUGGGUCCUCAGCUCGUUUCCCCAGCAGUCCCCGAGAAAACGUCCGGGAGAUGGAGGCAAGUUUAGACGUCGCCUUGGAGGAGGCGCGCCUGGAGGUACUUCGAGAGAGUCGCCCCUCAUCUGAGUCUUCACCUGAAGGUACCUCAGGGGACUUCGUCGGCCUCCUCUUGGAGGACUCGGCCUUUUCUUUCCCCUGUCUUUUGAGGUACCUUCCUAGCUCCUCAAAAAUGGUAGGGUUGUGUGAUACGAACUCGGCCAUCUUGGCGAUGGCCUCCUCGUUGUUAGGCUGGGUCCUCGGGGACCCUUGCUCUUCAGAGAUGCGAUCUUGCUGGGCUCCGAGGUCUGCCCAGCCCCAGUUGAGGGAACUCGACCACUUCUGGAGCGCGUGGAUCUCAUUUUAGUAACAGUAGUCUCGUUCCCACAGACGGCGCCAAUUGAGGAGGCGAUUUUUGGUUGGUAACUAGACCGACCUGGAUCAGUCCUCUCUGAGAUGAAGUGAGGUGAACUCCUGUGUCCGAAGUGAACCUCCUUGUCCGAAGUGAGUGGCGGGGCUUCUCCCCUGGUAUCACUCCGACGAUCAAGUUAGUAUGAGAACGAGAAUAAUGAGAAUGAGUUAAUGAACAGUGUAUGCUUACUUGUUGGGAGUGUGAGUGAGGUAUUUAUAGAAGAGAGGUGGUCAAGACGGAAGGCUCAUGCUAGCGGACCCACUCUCUGGCAUUACGGCUCUGUCUCCUGUCAGGAGGUCUGACUCUGACACUGUAGCCGCCUGGGAGUGAUGACGGAGGAUAUGGUGCAGGUGCCAUUAAGUGCCUCCAGUGCUUUUCAGAUAAAGUGCUGGUCCUGGAUGAUGUCAGGUGGGUUGACAUCAUCAGCGUGCAGCCGAGGUGGAUGUGCCGAGGUCACCUACACGGUGGACUAGGGAUGAAGCCGAGCUCUGGGGUUGUGCUCAAGACAGGGAAUGAGCUCCGGUGAGGGACGAGACUUGUGUUCACCUCGGACACCCGCGUGUCCGAGGUGAGCAUCCUCAGUACCCUAAGAAGAAGACAAUAAAAAAAAAAUGCAGGGCUUACGUGAAGCACAAGAGACAUAAAUUAACUAGUGGAGUGCUACGUAACUUGAAGCUGCAUGCCAAGCUACAGGUGAAGAGAGUGCUGCUUCAUGUGAGACCUCCCUUUCAAAUGGGAUUCCAUGAAAUUUUCUUGUGCUUCGAUGAUGAUCAGUUCAUUACAAGUUAAUAUAUAUAUAGAGCUACAGAUCGAAAGGAAGGUGGGGGUCGACGAUCUCGCAGUUUGAGCUCCCCUAACCGAGAUUUUCCUCAAUAAUUAUUAUCCAAUGAAAGAAUAUAUUCUACCUGUGCUACAGGAGAGGAGAGUAGGGGCCCCGACUUAUCUUCUUCAGUCUUCAUCUCUUACAACUUGAUACGAUGGAGAACAGAAUUUCAACGUAAAGAUGCCCUUCGAUCACUUUCUUGCCUCUGCUGCUCUCGUGAAACUUAGAUGUUGGCAACUUGCCCGGAAUCAAUUUCCCUACAAAUCAAAUGCUUAACAGAUUUGUUUCCCCCCCCCCCUUUUUUUUGUUGGAUUAAAGAGGAAAGUAAACGUUAUAAAGAGGAGUACAUAGUAACGCCACUGACACAACAUCUGCUAGGCGACUUAGAGUCAACAUUAAAAUUGUAAUCAACUCCCCAAUGUGCUAAGAAUCAGCACAAUCAAUCAACUCCCCAAGUGUUUUUACAAUAACAUCCCUAAAAAAAAUAUAUAUAUAUAUAUAUAUAUCCCCGAGUGCCAACUUUCACAUUUGAGUGACAUUUUUUCUUAAUAAGAAGAAAAACUACACUGAUAAUCAUAUGUAAAUUAUUUGCAAAUUCAAACUGAAAUUUCUUACGCCAAAAAAUUUAAAAAAAAACACUGAAAAUGCAGAAAUUUGUUAAUAGUAUACAUUCAUGUGAGUCUUGACAACAUUGCGUGUUAAUAUUAUCCAGAUUUUGGCUUUCAGAUAAUUUGUUCGUUUUUUUUUGUCAAAAAUAAAGAACAAAAGAAGGAAAAAGCAAAAUGUUAAUCAGUUUGUUCUCAUUUGCUAUAGUUAAAAGAUUAGACAACUGUUGUGGUUUUGGCGCGGUUGGUUCGAACUUUUCUUUCUUUCUCUUUUUUUUUUUUUUCUUUUGCAUUAAAUUGAAAAACAAACUUUUUUUUUUUCUUUCUAUAAGGGCCUUGCUGUAUGUUGUACACGAAAUUAAGGAACUAAAUUACUAGUAUUACUCAGUUUGUUUCGUUUAUCCUUAGUUGAGAUAUUCCUAGAUAGCAAAGUGAGGAGUAUUUUCAGUUGGAAAUCUAAAUUUUUUUUAACCCUCCCUACACCCUUUCCAUCCUUGCCACUACUACAGCUACCCAAAAUAUGAUCGAUCUUCUGAUCGAGAACACCAUUUCUUAUCAAGAUCGUUCUGAGUUCCCUUGGUCUUCCUUGUACCAUUCUAAGAUGCAUCUACAUAUAUCUUAAUGUAUAAUUAGCAACAGCCUUCAAGACUUCAAUGGCUGAGUUGACAAAAGAUUGAAAGCUUGCUGCUUUUGUUGCCCUGCUGGUCUUCUAAGCUGGCCAGAAAGGGUGUCUUGACAAAAUCAUCAAGAAGCCAGAAAAAAGUUCGUCAUCCCUUGGCAUAGCACCUCAUAAAUUAGUACACAAUGUCUGAAUUUUCUUCAGGCCUUAGGAGAGGAGUACUAAAAGCCAACCAAAAAGUCAUAAAUUUAACCGAUGGUUACUUGAUUCCUCGUCAGACUUACACAAGAGCAAUAGACGCUUAUUGAUUUUCUCCGGGAAAACAGAUCACAUGUUUUUCAUGUUAUUCGAUUUGGAAUGAUAUUCCAUUAAGUCAGAGUUUGAGUCUUGCUGAUCAAAAUCGUCGACUAAGGUAUUUUUAAGGUUAUGGACAAGAAAAAAUACAGGCUAGUUUUUGCUUUGAUGUUGUAGAACUAAACUUGUACACUAGUUUUUCUUCAAGAAAGCCAAUGAGAUUAAAAUGGCACUGCCUUUAGAGAGAGUAACUAAGUACCAGGUUUCAGCAUUGUCAAGGAGUGAUGUACUGUUGUGACUAGAGCAUAUUUGUCUCUUUAGAGAAUAACAAGGAUUAAUUCCAUUUUGCAUCCUUCAACUAUACCCAAAUUCUUUAAAAAAAAAAAAAAAGCCUAUACCCGAAUUCUUACUUUGAUACCUGAACUUCAAAUGGAAUGCUUUAGUCUCUAAAGUAUAAAAUUUGUCACAUUUUAGUUCAAAAGAAGAAAACCUAUCCUAUUUUAUUUCUUUAAAUACAAAGUCAGUCCACUUUAGUUUCUUAAAUUAUAAAAUCUAUACAAUUAAAUAUAAAAUUUGUUCCAUUUCUCUCAACGAUUUUGCUUAAGUGGGACAAAUUUUAUGUUUUAGCGAUCAAGUUUUUAAUUUUAAAAUUUAGGGAUCGAUGUGUACAUCUCAUUACUUGAGAGGUGGAAAGUGAAAUUAACCCAAAAAAAUAACGAUGCAAUCAUCAUCUGGCAAGUUGGUCGUGAGUACGUGACGUAGCGUUCAUAUAAAUAUGGUAACCUGAUUACAGCUAGUUCAGGAAGUCGCCCCAAAAAGAAAAGAUGAACAAAUUAAUGAGCAUGUAUUUGAUAACUACAAGAAUCUGAUCCAAAGCGCAAAACAAAAUUACAGGUAGAGAAUGAAAACUUCCAUAUUUUAACUCAGCGCUCGAGAACUUUAUAUUCAUCGUUAAAGAAAAAACUUUAUAUUCAUCUAUCCAAAACCUAUAACAUCAAUGGAUUCUUUUUCUCUUAGUCCAGGAGGGGAUUACCGAAUCGGCUUGAUGGAGGGUGCCAGGUAGUAAAAAUUCUGAAAGAGAAUGCCAAGAAUGACGAGGAAAGCCUGUCAAGUAGCCGGACGACUCGCCUGCAAAUCCAUUAAUGAAGAAUUUACACUUGUACAUGGAUGGAUCUUGAAGGAUGAAGAGGCAAGCCAUCCUUGGCUACGAAACAGGACUCUCAGCCCCAUUCCAGGCAUUUCUUUCUAUAAAAUGUUAACCUCGAAUUAUAUCGAAAAGGUAUACAAGUGCACUCUUGACUGAUAACGAUCCCCGAUAACUCAACGGAAAAGGGGUCUUGCGUGAAGAAAAAGAGACAUAUUAGUCAAGUGGCCGCCAAGGCCAAACAGCACGAGGCUUCUUCACGUAAGACCUCACUUUGGAAUUAUUGAGUUGGUCUUUUUCUUGUAUAUAUGCUGAUGAUCGUCUGUUUCAAGUGUCUAUUUAUAGCGACAGAAAAUGAAAGAUGAGAGGCUUCGGAAUUAGAUGAUGCGCAAGUUAGAGCUAGCUUGCUUCCCUAGCAAAGUAACUUUCUUCACUAUUAUUUUCGUGAAAGAAUAAAUUCUCUUCCUGUUUCAGGGGUGCAGAGGACCCCAACUUAUCUAGUACCUCAUGUUCGUACAGCUGAAAGAUGAUAGGAGAGCUAGCCGAAUUUCAACGUAAAAGUCCCAUUAAUUCGCACGUUUUGUUGGCAACUUGCACCGAAUCAUUGCAAUAAGUGCAAUGAAUUUCCUUUUCCAUAUCUGGUCAAUGUUCAGUAGAAUCAUUGCAAUUAGCGCAUGGCUUGAAACCUGGGACCUCUUCAAAACCCGAGCAGCCAAAUAAGAGCCGGGGGGGGGAGGGGGGGUGGGUUUUUUUGGUGUAACUUUUCUUCCUUCGGCUAGUUCACUAAGUAAUGUGUAGGAUCAAACCAUGAUAUUAUCUGCUGUCAAAUUCCCAGUCACCCAGUUAUAUAACUUCUCAAUGUCCUGGACAUAUUACUGGCACUUGCAAAGUCACACUAAAGCCUUUCUACCCAAGAAAAAGAAAACUAAAGCUUUUCUUUUUCUUUUCGCUUUUUCCACUAAAGUUCAUGUUAAGGAAGAAUUUCAGUUGAAGGAAGAAAAUUCAGCAAAGCAGUAGCGUUAACUCGGAUGGCAAAGUCGUUCAUUUUUUAUUAUUUCGGUGAAAUGUCAGUCAUUUGUGAACUUUUGGAGUUUGGACUUUUUUUUUUUUUUUUUGGUAAAUAAAGAUGCAUUAAAAAUAAAAUCAAGUCAACAGAGUGCAAAUUAAGGUACAGUCAUCCGUGGGAGGAAACCCCCUUUAAGUCUUGCAAAAGUAAGGGAAGUACAAAAUUAGGACAUAAUUCAAAAAAAGUGAAGUCUUGAGUGUUGCUUCUUCCCCAGUUGGCAAGGAUGUCUGCACAUUUGUUUGCUUCUCUAUAAUUAUGGUGAAAACAUACUUUCUGGAAUGUAGUCAAUAGCUCCCUGCAAUCAAGAAUAAUAGGUGCAAGUUCAUGAGAAAUAAGAUUAUUUGACUUACACAAGGAGAAUAUAAAGGCAGAGUCCAUCUCCACUUCGAGAGAGUGGAUGUUGAGAUUUUUCGCAAGUUGUAAGCCUUCUCUAAGAGCCCAACAUUCAGCAGAAGGAACUGAACAGAAGCCUAAAUUUCUUGCAAAGCCCGCAAUCCAUAUCCCAUUUGAGUCACGAAUUAUGCCACCAGCUCCUGCCUGGUUUGUUGGUCCAGAGACUGAACCAUCAGUAUUGAGCUUGGCGAAACCUAUAGCAGGGGGGGAUCCAUCUGAUGAAUUUUUCUUGUCUAGGGGAUCUGGAGAUAUGAGAACCAGGCCCUAGUAGGUAAAAUUCAUGAGCAUGGUGAAGACAAAACUUGAUAGGAUCAUCAAUUUUGUUUUUUUGAAAGAUCUUGGCAUUGCGAGCUUGCCAGAGGCUCCAACAACCAAAGCUAAAAAUGGUUCCCCAAGGAAUAAGGUUGAAAGGGGAAGGAAUGUUGGACGAGCAUCCAUCCUUGAUCCAGGAAUAGAAAUCCGAGCUGGUUUGGAGGGAGUUUUGGGAGGAUGGGUGAGUUUAAGCCAGAAGGAGGUUGCUUGGGGACAAGAUCUUAGUAUGUGAUUCGAAUCUUCAGAAGGAGCUUGACAAAAAGGGCAAGAGGCUUCGGAAAGAAUUGUGCGAUGUGUGAGAAGACUUUUUGAAGGGAGUCUAUCCUGGGAUGCUAGCCAAAGGAAAUGCUUGACUUUUGAGGAGUAUUAACUUUCCAAAUCCAGCGAAAAUGGGAUGGAGCUCUAGAAUCAACUGGAAAUAAGGGAGGAUUUUUGCAAAGGUUAUAAGCAGAUUUCGAGUUGAAAACCCCAUUGCUGGAGUAAUUCCACCUAAAGAAAUCAUGGGAUGGAUUGAGCUCUUGUCUUGGUGUACCCUUGAUCUCCUUCACGAGCUGGAGAGGAAGCUGGAAGGAUAUUCUAUCAAGGUUCCAACUGGUGGGGAGUGAAAAAGUUGAAAAACUCUUAAGUCCUCUUCCCCCUCAGUUAGAGGUCCUUGGAUCUGGCUUCUGAUAGAGCCUGAUUGAAGCCAUUUGUCUCCCCAAAAUCUGACUAAAUGCCCAUCUCUGAUAGACCAAAUUAAACCUUCAUUGAAGGUUUUGAUCCCAAUGUUGGAGUUUGGACUGUUGAAGCCUGUCGAUGCGGUUGGAUUUGCAACGUUGUGAGUUUGUUUGGACAAAGAUAAUUUGAUUUGCAAAAUUUAUUCUCACAAAUCCCAAUCACCUUUUUAUCUCACAUACAUCACAUCACAAAAAGUGCUACAGUAAAUAUCUCAAAUAAAUCAUCCAAAUAAACUCUUAUCCAAACAAACUCGUGCUUCUUUUUCUUUUUCUUUUUUCUUUACAUGCUUCGUUGAGAUUAUCAGAUAAAAUUCUCUUAAUUUGCUUUUUUAAUUAGCUGGGUUGACUUUAGAUUAGACUAUACCCAACUUUACCCAGUGGGUCUGAACGUUCACAUAAGUGCUGCUAUGCCUGCAGUCCUUUGCAUAAAUAAAACUGACAAUACGAAUCACGUCUGUUUUCUUUUCUCUCUGCCUGCUUUAUCACUGGAUUUUAUCCUAACUUUAGGUGGGCUUGAUUCGUAUUAGAUUGGAGCGAUAAUGAGAUGUAUUCGAUAUUCUGUACCAAUAAAGAAGGUUAUACUGCAACAAUAGACACCUCAGCUGAUCUCUCGUUUCUAUUUCCCUAAUUCAUGCUUCUAGACGUCGUUGACUAUGGGGGCAUCCUGUCCUGUCCUGUCCAGUUAGUUUCCGGUUAAACCUCUCUGAUUCUAGCUCAAUCUUCAUGCAUUAUUAUUAAGUACGAUUGCAGUUGGAGAAAGUUCUAUAACAAAUUCUCAGUCAUCAAGAUGAUUUUAACAAUUCACUUGAUAAAAUCAAGAAAAUUUUCUAAGAUUUUAGAUGGGGCAAAAUAGCGGCUGUAAAUGAAAUUACCAGAAGUCCUUCGGGUUAAAAAGCAUUAGCCAAAACUUGGGGCCGGCUGCUACCAACUCCUGCCGCAGUGGAUGUGUUUAUUUUGUGGUAACUGUCAGUUCUAGGAACGCUGGUCCGCGGGCCUUGCCUCAAAUGACUCCUUCAUAUUGUUUUGAGCCGUCAUCAAUAGUUUGAUUCGCCAACCAACCCAUUAAUUGGGAUCGUUCAUGCCUGAAUUCCAGACACCUCUAUGCCUGUCGACAUGCUUGCCAAGGUAGACGGAGAUGGAAUUCCUUCGAAGCACCGUAUCAAAGAGUGUGACAGCAUCAUGCAGAGACAGCCGCGCCGAAAAUGCGAGUGGAACAAAUACCCAGCUUUAGCACUACUACAUGCAUUUGUCUCGAUCAAAAGAGUAGAGAUUUUACAGCAAUCCAACUCUGGUACUGAAUCUUCUAGUAUUACAAUUUUCAGUGCUUCUAUCUACCUUUCUAAUUCACAGCGUACAGAAGUAGAGCUAGUCAACUUUUAGCACUUGCUACUGAAUAGUUUCUAGGACUUUUUAGACAUUGUCAAGCAUCUGCUUAGUGCUAUCCAGUUGGUAU
RNAcentral lists this long non-coding RNA (65691 nucleotides) under Coffea arabica (coffee). Its description in RNAcentral is "long non-coding RNA (CARA_LNC004872)". Lineage: Eukaryota; Viridiplantae; Streptophyta; Magnoliopsida; Gentianales; Rubiaceae. The record is from RNAcentral.